GUUUUGGUUCUUAUAAUUGAUCGCCUUAUCUAGAACAACACCACUGGUGUCAUUGUAGUGGAAAAGGUGAUGCAACAAGCACCACUCAUGGAAGCCUGGUUCAUCAUCCUAGUGUCUGCGUUCGUCUGCGUCGUCGUAAGAGCCAUAUUCUCCCGUCAAACCAAAACCAUCAACACCCCACCAGGCCCUCUUCACAUCCCAAUCGUCACAAGCAUCCUAUGGCUCCUAAAAUCCUUCAGCCAACUCGAGCCAAUUCUCCGAACCCUCCACGCCAAGUUCGGCCCUAUUGUCACCAUCCGCAUCGGAUCUCAACGUGCCAUAUUCAUCGCCGACCGCACCCUCGCCCACCGAGCCCUCGUCCAAAACGGUUCCCUCUUCUCCGACCGCCCCAAGGCUCUCGCCGCAUCUAAAAUCGUCACCAGCAACCAACACAACAUCAGCUCCGCCUCCUACGGGGCCACGUGGCGCGUCCUCCGCCGCAAUCUCACCUCCGAGAUGCUUCACCACUCCCGCGCCAAGUCCUUCUCUGGGAUCCGCAACUGGGUCCUCCACACCCUCCUCGCGCACCUUAAAUCCGAUUCUCUCUCCAACGAUUCCGUCAGAGUCAUCGACCACUUCCAGUACGCCAUGUUCAGCUUGCUCGUCUUCAUGUGCUUCGGGGAACGACUCGAUGAGGGAAAAGUCAGAGAAAUCGAGCGCGUCCAACGACAGUUACUUAUAGGGUUUAACAGGUUCAACAUCCUCAAUUUCUGGCCCAAAGUCACGCGCGUUUUGCUUCGCAAACGUUGGGAGGAGUUGCUGAGGUUUCGCAAGGAGCAAGAGGACGUGAUGCUUCCAUUUAUAAGAGCCAGGCAGCAAAAGCAAAAGCAAGGCAAGGAGGAAGGUGUUGUCUCGUAUGUUGAUACUUUGUUGGAUUUGCAUUUACCUGAGGAGAAACGCAAGCUGAACGAAGGGGAGAUUGUGACGCUGUGUAAUGAGUUUUUGAACGGGGGUACGGACACGACUUCCACGGCGUUGCAGUGGAUCAUGGCGAAUUUGGUGAAGUACCGGCAUGUGCAAGAGAGGUUGGUGGAUGAGAUAAGGGAGGUAUUGGGUGAGAGAGAAGAGAGAGAAGUGAAAGAAGAAGAGUUGCAGAAACUUGGUUAUCUGAAGUGUGUGAUUUUGGAGGGUUUGAGGCGUCACCCACCUGGUCACUUUGUGUUGCCUCAUGCAGUAACUGAGGACGUGAUUUUUAAUGAUUACUUGGUCCCUAAGAAUGGGACAGUGAAUUUCAUGGUGGCAGAGAUGGGGUGGGACCCUAAGGUGUGGGAGGAUCCCAUGGCGUUUAAGCCAGAGAGGUUUAUGAAUGAUGAGAGCUUUGAUAUUACUGGGAGUAAAGAGAUCAAGAUGAUGCCCUUUGGUGCUGGGAGAAGGAUUUGCCCUGGCUAUAAUCUCGCCCUUCUUCAUUUGGAGUACUUCGUCGCUAAUUUGGUUUGGAAUUUUGAGUGGAAGGUUCCUGAUGGAGGAGAUGUGGAUUUGUCAGAGAAACAAGAGUUCACUGUGGUCAUGAAAAAUGCAUUGCAUGUUCAUCUUUCUCCUAGGAUCUAGACUGUACCCGCUCAUUAAUAAUGGUUUGGAAAAUAAUUUUCAUGGUAGAUACUUCAGUGGUUAUAAAAAACUUAGUGUAUUGGUUUUUGAGGUGGUUUUACAUGAAUCACCCAGUAAGAUUCUCUACUGCGAAUGCCUAUAUGUAUAGAGAAAGAAGAUUAUGCAUAGCCUAGCAUGAUAUUUAUGCUGUGUGUUUUCAGAAGUUCUGUUCUGCAUUGAUAAGAUGAACAGUUCCUGUAAGAUUUUCACUACGGUUUCUGUCAAUUUGCUUGCACGUGUAGCUAUAUAGAUAGUAAAGUAUAACCAGUUAGUACUUAUACUACUUAGCCAAAAAUGGAAUGAAAAAAAGUUGAAAGAGGAAUUUUGUCACCAACCAAAAGAACGAAACAAUUGUCGGGACAAUCAAUGUUUUGAUUUAGAGUCCCUAUAUUUAAUUGUGUUGUGGGUCUAAUAUUUUGAAAAUAUUUAAGAUUUGGAUACUUCGUUACGUUCUGAACUUAGGUUAAAACAUUUUGAGGGUUGCAUUCUGAAUUUAGUUUGUCCACUUUUUCUCAAUUUCUCCAGUUUCGGUGUCUUCUUCUCUUCUAGCAUUUGUUUGGUCUUCUCCUCAAACUUCUGUUCUAGUAUUUGUCUGUCUUCCACCUUCUCCUCCUCGUUCGUCCUCGUCGUUUUUGGUGUUUGCAAGUGACGGUGGUUGGGUGACGCUAUUGGUGACCUUACAUUGAAGUGUUCUAUUUAAUUUCACCAAAGGUAAUACAUUUUCUAUUCAUUAGUUUAUUAAGUGAAAGAUUGAUCUUGUUUGAUUUUUGUUGGGUGAUGAAUAAUAUAAAGUGUGUGUCCGUGUUAUUUUCCGUGUGGUGACCCUUGUAACAUCAUGUAGUGACCCAAAGUCAAUUUCUUGCACACACACUUAAGACAAUAUAUUUUCGUAUUUCAUGGUAGAGGUUAUUUGAUGGGUUUGUAUUUUAAUGUUAUUAUAGUAUUUUAUUUGAUAGUAGUAUGUUAGGAUACACAAAAAAUAGGAAUUGGUUAGAAUUAGAAUAUACAAAGAACUACAUUUGUGAUCAUAGGUGUUUGUGUUUACUAUUUACUUUUUUUCUCGAGUACCACUUGAUUUUUUUUGGAAUAUAUUGUUAAAACUAUAUAUUUUUGUGUACUUAGUUUAUGUGUGAUGCAUGUAUGAUUUUUUACUAUAUUUUUCUCCAAAAAAGACCUUUUCUGAAGUUAUGAUAUUGUGAAUAGUCAUUAUUGAGUAUAUAGAGAAAGAGAGAGGUCACUACAUACUGAUAUUGUAGAUAGAUAAUCCUUUGAAUGAUUAUUGCAUAUAUGUGUCUUGGUGCCUAAUUAAUGCAAAGUCUUUCUUUGUAGUUACUGGUGCAAAAAGACAAAACGAAUGCAGCUAUUUUAAAUUUAGAAGGACGACUAUAGAACUGCAUUUGAUGAACACGCAUUCUUAAAUUGAAGAGAUAAGAAAGCAGCUAUUGUAAUAGCCCUUGUAAAUCACAUUUAUAAAUGUGGCUAUGGUAAUAGUCGCAUUUGUAAAUCUUGCGCUGGAUUUACAAAUGCGGCUAUGGUAAAUAACCGCCCUUGUAAAUGGUGUUUUUUUUAGUGCAAUCUGUUUAGUGCUAAUUACCAUAUAAAUUAAUUUGUUCAAUUAUAUAUACCCAGCCAGACAAAUACAUAAAUUCAGAUAAUCAAAUUAUAUAUAUAUAUAUAUAUAUAUAUAUAUAUAUUAAUCAAAAUGUAUUACAAACACUAAUCAAAUUAUAUAUAAUUCCUACACUAUUGAUCAACUAUCCUAGAGAUAUAAAAAUUUAUGAAAUAUGUGGACCAAGAAUGUCUCACAUAUGUUAUGGCUUCCGAAGACAUUGGUGCUUCAUCCGUGAAGAACUGCAUUUAAAAAUAUGGUUGACACAAAUUAGUUUUAAGAUACAUAUAUGUUCAUGAAUUAUAAAAAUAAUUUAACAUAUCAUGUUACCUCUUUCCAAUCACUUUUAAGGCCUACUCUUGGUAAUCAUCCAUUGCAUAAACGUAAUAGCCACACUCAUAGCUUCCUGAUUGUUUAUUACACUAUAAUUCAAUAAAAAGUAAAAGUUAGUAUAUUGAUAAACAAUGAAAAGAGAAAGAAAAAAUUACAAACCUUUAGUCUUAUCUAGUUCAAAUUUUGAAAAUUUGAAUUGGAUCGACCUUUUAGGAUGUUAUAUCCACACCAUGAACUGGUUAAUACAAAAAACCUCGUUAGUAGAUGGUUAAUUAGUAACAUACAAAGUUAAGUUUAUAGUGUACUUACCUAUCAAUGAUAUUCUUAAGACUUGGGGAUAUCUUCUUGUGUAGGGAACAAAACCACACAGUAGUCUUAUCAACCAUUGAUAAGACAAGUAACUACCAAUGAUCCCUAUAUCAUCCAUGAAAAGAGUUAGUAAAUACUUAAAACAUGAAAUAGUAAUAAUUGACGACAUAUGAUUAAACUUACUCAUUAAUAUAAGAGCAUAAAUAAAUUUGUUUUCCCUCUUUUUCCAUGGUGUUAGUCAUGUAUGAUUGGGUCUCAUUUACCUUUGCUCCAGUGGGAUUAGUAUAUGUAGGAUCUAAGAAUCCAUACACAUUUUCCUUCUCCUCAGUGAGACUGACUCCAUGCAAAAACCUACAACUUAUUAGUUAAAACAUUAUCAAUAAUAAUUUAACAUAAAGUAAAUUGAAAUAUAGGUAAAGAUACUUACAUCAUAAAAAAUUGAAUUAUAUUUAUAUUGAGCUCCUGAUCCCAGCUACAAAUUCUAACAAAUCUGUCAUGUAUAUGUAUAGUGGUAGUUCAGUGUUUAUUUAAAAAAAACGUAUCAUCCUAGGGAACUUCAAAAGGUUCUCGACCAAUCUGUCUAGCAGCUACAACUAAGGAAGCUAUAUGAUCAUCAACCGGAGCCUCAUGCUUCUUUUUCGGACUUGGUUUUCGAUGAGGUUUCUACAAAAUAAAGAACAUUUGUACUAAAUUAGAUUCAAUAUAUAAAUAUAAAUGAAUAUAAUGAAAUGAAAUUAUUACCAAAGGUUCUGGCAUAAUUCGAAUGAGGUGUCUGGGCUAGGCAACGAAUGUCUGAAAAGCAUCGGCUACAGUGGUUAUCUCAUCUGAAGGUAGUGGAACACGGGCAUUAGGUACUCGUAAUCUUUCAACUUUUACCUUCUGUAAGAAUUGAUGGCUUAAACAAGAGGGGUGAAUUGUUUAUCAAAGAUUUUUUGCAAAGAUUGAUUAAGAAUUAACCUUUUAUCAAACAAUGAUAGAUAAACAAUUAAGGAAAACAAUCAACCAAUGAUACAAAAACUGUUUUUCAGAAUUUUAACCGAUUGAAAUUGCGUUUUAAUCGGUUGUUUAUACCAACAGCAGAAACAAAAUAAAAACAAACAGUUAUAAGGAGUUAGAGAUAGAGAGAUUUACACAGAGAAUUUUAUACUGGUUCACUCAACCUUGAGCUACAUCGAGUUCUCAGAACAAUGUCUGAACAACAUCGAUUUUUUGAAAACUUCUUUAAAAAACAAAUCUCAAUCUCUCUUUGUUCUCAAAUUUGUGUAAAACUUGUUGUUUUUUGUUUAGAAAGAAAGGCUAUAUUUAUAGCACUUAAAAUCUAGCCGUUUAAGGCAACAUUAAUGAACCAAAGCAGUUUUGAUCACACCCAAAAUAGAAUAAUAGGUUUUCAAAAAACUGUUAGACAAAGUCACAAUCAACCGGUUGAAAGCACGAUUUAACCGGUUGAAUUGGUUAGGCAGUUACAUAACCAAGUCAAAAACAGUUUCAAAAUCUUUAAGCCAGCUAAGUGACAAACAACAGAUUAUUUCGAUAAUUCAACCGAUUGUUUUUCUCUUUGCUUAGAAAAACACUUUGCUUUUUAAAACAGAUUGGGCAAACUUUGUGCAAGGAUUAAGAACUGAUAUCUACAUAGAUUCUAAACAUUCUAAUCUAAACCCAAACCAAAAAGCAGCAAGGUUUCAAGCUUCAUCUUGGAUUUGAAACAUCAAAGCUCCCAUGCUCUACAAUCUCCCCCUAUUUGAUGGAGACAAAUCCUUGGGAUGCUUUUAGGAAUGUUCUUGUUUAGAAUCUGUAUAACCUGCAUCAUGAGCAAACAUAGAAACACAAGAAAAUCUAUUCCAAUCAAAUAAGCACCACAAACCAGUUCCCACUAGGUGAUUUCCAGAGAGGAACAUCAGCCAAAUCAGAUGAGAAACCAAUCAACAUACAGAGGUGCAAACACAGAUAAACAAUCGGUUAUUUCACAGGAAUAACCGGUUGAAAUUUUGUAGCAGAGUUUUAACAGUUUUAAAAUUUCAAAUCUAAACAGUUAUAGCAGUAUUAAGCAAUGUUCAAAGGCAGUUAAAUCACAAAUUAUAAGAAUAUUACAAUCCUAACAUACUUCUACCCCUAUUUGUCUUCACAAAUAGACAAAAGGAAGGAUUAAAAACAACAUAAAAGAGAAAAGAAAUUGUUCAAAAAUGUUGACCAACAAAUUAGAAAGAAGGACUGUUCUCCCUUUCAAAUUGUAGCUCCAUAAUCUGAUUAUAAACCUCUUCUAUUUGUUCAUCUAGGUUUGAAAAACAUGAAUCCAUAUGAUUGAACCUUGACUCAAACAAAUCAUGGAAAUUCCUUUGAUUUUCAACAAAAGUGUCCAUGCUGUUAUCAAUCUUUCAAAAGGAGACAUUGUGGUCAUCCUUUCUCCCAUGUAGACAUCACUAGGACUAGCCUCUUGAGUCUCAGCAGUAGGUUCCUCUUGAUUUGUUGCAUCUUCAGGUUCAUCACCAUCAUUGAUUCCACUUGGGCCAGCUUGAUCACCAUCUUUGCUAACCCAUCUCCCACCCAUUUUUGUAAACCCCAUUUUGCUUAGGGAUCCACUGUUAAUCUCACUUGAGGGCUUGAUAAUUUCAGCUAGCUCCUCUUCAAUAUUCACUUCAAAAUAGUGAAGAAAUUUAGAGAUUAAAAUUGCAUAAGGAUAGUGAAAGCCACAUAACCUUAUGGAUUUUUGCAUAUGCUCCUUGAUGGUGUGGAUCCAAUUGAUCUUCACUUUAUUCAUAAUGCAAUAGAUCAGCAGUAGGUCUUCCUCAGAAAGGGUGGAGUGAUUGCUCCCCCUUGGUGUGAUGAUCCAUGACACUAUGAAGGCUAUGAGCCUUUCAUCAAGCUUUAACCCUCCAACAGAAAAAUUUCUCACUUGGGAGAGGGGAUUCUUGAGACAACUUUUGUAGAACUGCAUCUUAUUGAAUUCUUCAACUAUCCCUAGAUUUCCUUUGUUGAUCCUCAGUCCAGAGUACUUCAAUCCAGUCACAUCAGUCCACACAUCAUUGGUAAUGACCAUGCCUACACCUUUCACAUGAGAAACAAGUGAGUCAUCAUUAAAUUGAAGGUUAGUAUAGAAUACCUUCACCAAUUCUGGAUAAAUGUUUCCAGUGGGCUCAAGAAAUCUCUUUAAUCUUUGCUCCUUGAGGAGGCUUCUCAUAGUGGACAAAUUUUGUUACUUCAUCCAGGUGAAAGAGACAAGCUUGGGUGUAUUCACACCUUUCCUACUAGUUUCAUGUAGGUAUUUGUUGAUGAGUUCAGAUUCUCUUGAGAACCAUCCUUCAAGCUUCCCAGCACUUCUAACAGCCCUGGUUUUCAUCCUUUUAGCAGAUGGAGGAGUUCCAGCCAUUUCUUAAAUCAAAGAGGAACUUUAGCACACUACAGGGAAAACUUAGAGCAGAGGAAAAAGAAGAACAACAAAUUGUUUGUGUGUAAAAUAGCAGCUAAUUGCAUUACUUAGAUAGCCAAAACCCUUGGUCAAAGUUGGCAUUAUGUGGGUUGUUAUCAAAACAAAAAAACGAAUCAAAUUUGAACCAUAAAGCUGUUUUUGUCAGUCAAACAGAAAGUACAAAUACUCACAUGUUGAUUUGACCAAACUUUAAAGGCAAUUUUAAUUUCCAAGAUAAGAGGAAUCUGAUUUAUAAAAAGUAGUUAUAGCAAAGGCAUAUUGUAUUCAGACAUGUAAUUAAUACAGUAUUAACCACAAAUAUCACUGGGUUUGAACAAAAUUACAAAUCAGGACUUAGAAAUUAAAAACAGAUUUGCCCAGUGCUAACAGAGAGAAAACAAUCGGUUGUUUUGAAGAAACAAUCGGUUGAAUUUCUGCACUGAUGAAAUUUUUUUAGAAAAUCAUAUUUUCAAACAAUCAUGCUAUAUUCAAACAUAAUGGUUUAUAAUGCACACAAAUUUGUAUAAAGCAUAGAAGAAAUACAAGCUAAUUAUAAUCUAGGCAUAAAGAACAACAUAGAAUUGGAUUUAAGAACCAAUGUUCAACAAAGAGAAGAACAAGAAAAUUAUCCUCAGAUUUUAGUUACGCAAAUGUAAGCAGUACAUAGAAUCAGGACAAGGCUUUGACUUGUACACAAAUCUUCUUGAGAUUCUGAUCUUUCUGACCCUUCAAGUAGAGUAAAAAAUCUGCAAAACAGAACUUGUUAAAUCAUAAGGUUUGAUCCCUUAAAGAAUUUGGGACCCUUUGUGUUAGACUUGCCUUUGGAACCAUCAAAACAGCUUGGAAUCCAUUUAAAGAUCCCUUUAGAAACAAGAUAUUUUUGAAACCUGCAGAACCUAAUUGAAUGAACUUUCUUCAUGCAAUAGAAGCAUGUAACAACCGGUUGAAUCGACCUUUUAACCAAUUGUUUUUCUGGUACAGUUAAAAAAGGUUUUGAAUCCCAUUUCCUUUGCUUUGUGGAUAAAAACCUAAACCAACUUUUCCAAAAACACAAUUUUGAGAUGCAAGAACAUUUUCAAAGUUGGAUUUUCUAGUUGUAAGUUUGUCCAAAGUUUUCAAAAGAUAGUGAAUCUUUCUUUCAAGAUUUUCACAAUUUUCACAAACAUUUGAAUCACAACUACAAGUUGAGUUUUUGUAAAUCAAAUCAAGGUUUUCAAAAUCUUCCUUUGUUUUUCCAAACUCUUCUUCUAGAGACUUGACUCUGUUUUCCAACCAAUUAUUUAGACCUUUCAACCGGUUGUGAGAAAGUGUCAAUCGGUUAGCCUCUUCAUGAGUUUCAUUAAAAGCUUCAAGCAAUUGAUAAUAGUUAUUACCUUUGAUUGAAGAUGAUGAACUCAUGCUACUGGAUACAGAUGCUCUAAGGCACAUGCCACAUAUGCCUUCUUGGCUUUUCCCCUUUUCUCAUUUUUUAAAUCUGCUAUUUCUAAUUGUUGGGGCAUUCUGCCUUGAUAUGACCCUGUUCACCACAGUCAUAGCAAGUGUACUUGUUAAUAUUAAAAUCACUAGGUUUUCUAGAACCAUACCUCUUUGAAGCUUGGCUUUUCUUCUUCAAGAACUUGCUGAAUUUUCUUGACAGCAGACUCAUGGUGUCUUCAUCACUCCCACUUGAUUCUUGUUGAUGUUUGUGAUUGCAAGCUUUGAGUGUUAUGCUUUUGUUGUGUUUGUCCUCACUUUCUUGCACAAUAAGCCUAUUCAUUUCGAGCUCGUGCUUCCUAAGCUUACCAAACAAUAAAGCAGCUGUCAUUGAUGUCAAAUCUUUUGAUUCUAAGAUGGCAGUGACCUUUGGCUGCCAUGUUCUAUCAAGACAUUUCAAUAUCUUGAUGUUCAGCUCCUCCUUAUCAAAAGACUUACCAAGACUCAUCAAUUGAUUGACUAUGUGAGAGAACCUUUUCUGCACAUCAUAAAUGGUUUCUCCCUUUUGCAUUCUAAAGAGUUCAUACUCUUGAAUAAAGCAUGCUUUCUGGCUCUCUUGACAUCGUUUGUCCCUUCAUGUGUGACUUCAAGAAUGUCCCACAUUUCCUUUGCUGAGCUACACUGUGAUACCCUAAAAAAUUAAUCACAACUCAAGGAAAAGGUUAUUAUAUUCUUAGCAAUCCAGUCAAACUUGGCUUUCUUGCUUUCAGCCUCAGUCCAAUCAGAUGAAGGUUUAUAAAUUAAAACCUCAUCUCUUUUGACUUGAGGUAUAAAGGGACCAUUUUCAAUUGUUUCCCAAAUACCCUUAUCAGUUGAAUGCAUAAAGAUUUUCAUUCUCACCUUCCAAAACUGGUAAUUGACACCACAAAACAGUGAUGACCUGUUUAUGGAAGCACCUUCCCCAAAAGGCAACUUGUCAGCCAUGUAAAAAGAUUUUUCAGAAAAAAAACCAGAAACUUGAAUAUUUUUCAAGAACCUAGCUCUUGAAGCCAAUUGUAAGAAUUGAUGGCUUAAACAAGAGGGGGUGAAUUUUUUAUUAAAGAUUUUUGCAAAGAUUGAUUAAGAAUGAACCUUUAUCAAACAAUGACAGAUAAACAAUUAAGGAAAACAAUCAACCAAUGAUACAAAAACUGUUUUCAGAAUUUUAACUGAUUGAAAUUUCAUUUUAAUCGGUUGUUUAUACCAGCAGUAGAAACAUAAUAAAAACAAACAAUUAUAAGGAGUUAGAGAUAGAUAGAUUUACAUAGAGAAUUUUAUACUAGUUCACUCAACCUUGAGCUACAUCCAGUUCUAAAAACAACCUCUGAGUUCCACUAGUAAUCAAUUACAUAUUACACAAACACACCACAAAGAGGUGACCUUGAAAACCACAAGACCCACUCACCCUCUUUGUAACACCAAACACCUCAAGUCAGAACACCCUCUGACUUUGCAGGAUUUCACACACACUUACAAGUUUUAUGAAAGUAAAAUUACAAGAAUCAUGAAAGGAAUAGAAAACACCUGAGAUUACACCAACUAGGAAGUCCUAUGAUCAGAUCUUGUCGAGUGCAAAGCUUAACAACAAUCUUGCAAACCUUUUGAAAACUUCUUUCAAAAAAAAAUCUCAAUGUCUCUUUGAUCUCAAAUCUGUGUAAAACUUGUUGUAUUUUGUUUUGAAAGAAAUGCUAUAUUUAUAGCUCUUAAAAUAUAGUCGUUUAAGGCAACAUUAAUGACCCAAAGCAGUUUUGAUCACACCCAAAACAUAAUAACAGGUUUUCAAAAAACUGUUAGACAAAGUCACAAUCAACUAGUUGAAAACACAAUUUAACCGGUUGAAUUGGUUAGACAAUUACAUAACCAAGUCAAAAACAGUUUCAAAACCUUUAAGCCAGUUAUGUGACAAACAACCGAUUAUUUCGAUAAUUCAACCAGUUGAUUUUCUCUUUGCUUAGAAAAACACUUUGCUUUUUUAAAAUAGAUUGGGUAAGCUUUGUGCAAGGAUUAAGAACUGAUCUUUACAUAGAUUCUAAACAUUCUAAUCUAAACUCAAACCAAAAAGCAGCAAGGCUUCAUGUUAGAAUUGAUGGCUUAAACAAGAGGGGCGGGGGGUGAAUUGUUUCUAAAAGAUUUUCGCAAUUACUUUACUUUAGAAUGAAUCCUUAACAAACAACUCAGAUAAGCAUAUCAGAAAGUCAAUCAAACAGUCUAACAAAAAUAGAUAUCAGAAUUUCAACCGGUUAAAACACGAUUUAAUUGGUUGUUUAUGAUAGUGAAAAAAAAAUCAAACAGUUAGAGAAUUGAGAGAAAGAAAGAUUUACACACAAGGUUUAUACUGGUUCACUCAAUCCCUGAGCUACAUCCAGUCCUCAGUCAAGCCACUGAGUAUUCCACUAUGUAACCAAUCAUAAAUUACAAACAAAACACUCACAAAGAGGUAAUCUUGAAACCACAAGACCUACUCACCCUUUUUGCACACAACACACACCUCAAACCAGAAUCACACUGACUUUACAGGAUUUUACAAACACGUUUACAGAGUGUAAUAUGAACAAUUACAAGAAACUAAGUAAGGGUAGAAAACACCUAGAAUUACAGUAAACCAGAAGCCCUAUGAUCAGUUCUUGAACCACAAUAAUACUCAAAAGCAAUCUUGCUAAACUUGAAAAACUCAUUUUCACAAACAGAUUGUAAUAUCUCUUUUUUAUCUCAAAUGAGAGUGUAAAACUUCUAUGUUUUUCAUCAUUUAAACAUUUGAAAGAAGGCUAUAUUUAUAACCUUUGAAAAAGCUACCGUUUAAGGCAGAUUUGAACAACUGAAUCAGUUAAAACAAGUUUUCAAAAUACUGUUAUACAAACUUACUUUAAUUAGUUGAAACCACGAUUUAACCGGUUGAAUGGUUUCAGCAGUUACACAACUGAUUCAAAAAAUAGUUUUAAAACUUCUUUGCCAGCUAAGUGACAAACAACCGAUUGUCUCGAAACUUUAAUCGGUUGUUUUUCCCUUUGCAUAGAAAAAAAACUUAGUUCUUUAAAACAAAUUGAAACAAGCUUUCUGUAGGAAUCAAGACUGAUCUUACAAAGAUUUUAAACCCCAUAACUAAGUCCAAACCUGAAAAGCAGCAUAGCUUCAGAUUCCAUGAGGAUUUGAUACAUCAAAGCUUCCCAUCUUCAACACUUUAAGCUUCAUCUUGGAUUUGAAACAUCAAAGCUUCCAUGCUCUACACCUUCGCCACAUCAGGGGAGAGAGGAACAUUGUGUAAGGUGGUGGUCUCUUCACAGACUUUUCCAAUGGCCACCACCUGAGGAAGCAUGCCGCCCGCUACCAGUAGAUCACAUUGCCUUGUUUGGCCAAUGAUAUCCUCCCCUGAUGUUGUAGGAGUCGCAUAACUCCCCUUUGUGCUCUUGGGAGAGGGACUAGCAAGGGGUUGAAUCGGCUAAGCACAAACUUGUUGCGAUAGAAACUUUUGUCGCAACUCUAGUCACAUCCGAUCAGUCUCUUUUCUCGUCUCCUCCAAUAAUUGUUCACGUAUCUUAGUCGUCAUUUCUUCUUUGGUCUCUUAGGGGGAGGAGGAUGAGUGAUGAGAAUAAAAAAGAUGUUAUUAAUAGGAGGAAUGGUCAAGGACCAAAAUACUUGAAGUUCUUCUUAUUAGUAUUCUUAAUAUGGAGGCCCAAGCCCAAGCCCAAGCCCAAGCCCAAUCCCAAGAAGGCCAAAGCCCAAGAAGCCCAAGACCAACCCAUGAGGGGCAAGGCCAAACAUUAAAUAAAUAAGCAUCAUUGGAUGUCUCUAUUUGUAAUUUCCUUUUGUAUAGUUUUUAGUAGAACAUUAAUGGAGGGUGUAGAUAUUAAAAUAAGGGGUGUCUAUGUAUAAAGAUAGGUCACACCUUCCAUGUGACAAAAUAGUAGGCGUAGGUGUAGUUUUUAGGAGGUGCCAAAGUAGAAAAAGGUCACACCUCCCAUGUGACUUGUUUUGGCUCCAAAUUUGAAUUAGAAUUAGGAGGGAAAUCUGAAUUUGCGUAGCCUUUCAUUUCAGCCCUCUUCUACUAUAAAUAAAGAGGCUAGGCUCUUGUAAUUUCAGAUUUGGAUAAUUAAUAAAGAGAAACUCUACUCAAUUUGAGAGAGAACUUGUGAGAUUUGAUGUCCUUCCUAUAGUCUCAUCUUGUGUGCUUUUGGAGAGCUACAAGUGGCGACAUUCCUUCACUCAUCUUGGAACUCCAUCACCAAGUGGCGUGAUCAUUCUCCAAUUCCAUUCCAGCCGAUAUUCAACCAUCUAAGUCACAUUCCUUUCAUCUCCUUUGUUGUUUUCAUUCGGUAGUUUUAGUUUCUUAGUCUUGUUCUUCAAUUUGUACCGUUUACUUUUGUUAUUGUGCUGUUCUUGAGUUCUAUUUAGUACAUUUGAUUCUUUGGAUGAUUUUAAUCGGUAGAAUUGUUUCCUCUUUCAAUUUUGUCCAGUUUUAGCAAUUACAUAUUUCAAUUGUGUUUAUAUUCAUGUUCUUGAAGUUGUUCUUGUUUUCCUUUCAAUUCCACCAUAUGUUUGUGUUAAGGACAUGACACUCAUUGUUCAUAUGAGUUUGGCUUUACAUUUGGAUGGCAUUAUCCUCCAUUGAAUUGUCCUUAAGCCUCCUUAAAUGUUGUGUAUCUUGUUUAGUGCCAAUCCAACUCAUAUCAAUGAGUGUCAUUGUGAAACUCCAAAAUAUAGUUCAAUUCCAACCCCUUGUCCAGCUGCAUGAACACAACCACAAUGCUCAGGUCGUCCAAUUGCUUCAACCAGGAUAUCGUGAUGACCUUCAGGAACAAAAUUUCCUCUCAUAUGCAUGCCAUCUAAGAUUCUUAGCAUCGUUUGGGUUUGCAAACAAACGCUUCAUCCUUGGAAUGAUGUGAAGAUACUACAUAACCUUCAUUGGGGUCCAUGCUUUUCUAUAUCUUCAAUAGUAUCAUCAUCUUUUUGUUUCAACUUAUAACGUGAUAACCCACACCUCGAACAACUUUUCAACAAUUCAAAAUCUUUCAGUAUAAUAUACAAUCAUUAGGACAUGCAUGUAUAUUUUUAUACUUCAUACCCAUUGGACAAAGAAUCUUUUUGGCCUCAUAAUUACGAUUAGGUAGAGUAUUUCCUUUUGGAAGCAUAUCCUUCAACAACUAAAGCAAUUUCGUGAAGCUUUUAUCAGUUCAUCCAUUUAUUGCCUUCAAAUUCAUCAAUCUUAACACCGUCGACAACCAUGUGAAGUUAGUUGCUCCAGGAUACAAUGGAAUCUCUGCAUCGCUUGACAUACUUCCAUAUCCAUGUGCUUCUGCAAAAGACCGAGCUCCCACAUCACAAAUCAUGUCCUCCAAUCGAUCAUCAUCUACAUCAUCAUGUACUUCAUCAUCCAUGGUGGACUCUACAUAUUCUUCAGUUACGGAAACACGUGGUAAAUUUAACAAUUCAUCAUGCCAUGUCCAUGUUUUAUACGAUCGAAGAAACCCAUCACAUAGAAGGUGCUCCCUCAUUAUCUUAACAUCUAAUAUCCUUCCAUUUAAACAGUUAACGCACAGACACCUGAUCUUUGCUCCAUCAUGACCACUAUUAAUCGUGUUACGUUGUGCAAAUUGUAUAAAUUCUUCUACUCCUCUUUCGUACUCAUCACUUAUGCGAAGAGAAUUAAUCCAAUUUCAAUCGAUUAUAUUCUGAAAUAGUCAUUCAGGUGUUUUCUAAUCAGUGUUCUAUCUCACACGUUUGCCGAGGGUCGAAUACCCCUGGACUCAAUACCAACGAGUAUCAAUUGUCGAGGAUGGAACACCCUCAGACUCAAUACAAACACGAUAAUUCUAUUCUAAACUAACAACUAACAUAAUAUAAAUAUAAAUUAUAAAAAAUACUAAGUAAUAUAAAUUUAAAAAAAGUACAAAUUAUAAUACAUAAAAAAAAAAACCAAAUACAUAAAAUUAAAAAGAAUUCAAAAAAUUUAAAACAUCACCAACCUUAUGUGUGAAGGCAACGUUGGCCAAGAGUGGCACGACAGCGGCAACGGACGCGGCGGUGGACGCGAAAGCAACGAAGGAGCAAACCAGAAACUAAAGAAGAACCCACAAAGGCAAUGCAACAAUACUUCAAGUGUAACAAACAAAACAAAGUAAGAUAAAGGAAAAACAUUUAUAUACAUUGGUGAAGAAGAAAGAGAGCUCGAAGAAACUUACAGAGGCAUGAAAACAAAAUCAAUGAAGUUGUAGAAGAAGAGAUGAACACUAAGCGCAAAUGCGAGCAGGAGUGCAAACGCGAAACACAAAAAGGAGAAAGAAAAUAAGAAAGCGUAAGUGGUGCGCUUCAAAAAUUAGGGUAAAAAUGAUUUAAGAAUGUGACUAUUUGUAAUAGCCGCUGAUCCUGCCUGUUGACCGGAGCGCUGGAGAAUGCCUCGUCAAAGGAUCGACGUGCGCGCCGCUUCUCACUUCCGUUCCUCCUCUGGAUCUAUCUCAAGAACCUGCAAAGAAACGAUACGGCGCUGCUGCGGCCGAUCGCACUCCGACGCUCAAGUCAGUGACGGUAUCACCAAAUACUAAGAACUAGAACCGUGCAAAAACUCUCUCUCACAACAGCUCUGUCACCCGCAAGCGUAAAGUGUAUGAACUGAACGUGCGUACCUCAGAAAGUCUGUUAAGAACUCUUAUAUACCUGGUGGUUUUCUCUCUCCUGGCAGUUACAAACUUGGACACGUGGCUCGCAUCCAACUGUACACGUGCCAUCAUCUGGAGGCUCCCUGACUUGGCGCUGCUUCUACUCUUAUUUUGGCUAAGUUACUUAUGCAUGGUACUGCCCAGUNNNNNNNNNNNNNNNNNNNNNNNNNNNNNNNNNNNNNNNNNNNNNNNNNNNNNNNNNNNNNNNNNNNNNNNNNNNNNNNNNNNNNNNNNNNNNNNNNNNNNNNNNNNNNNNNNNNNNNNNNNNNNNNNNNNNNNNNNNNNNNNNNNNNNNNNNNNNNNNNNNNNNNNNNNNNNNNNNNNNNNNNNNNNNNNNNNNNNNNNNNNNNNNNNNNNNNNNNNNNNNNNNNNNNNNNNNNNNNNNNNNNNNNNNNNNNNNNNNNNNNNNNNNCUAUCUACCAACCUGGCGCCUUGUCAACACGCCUAUACUGUAGCAGGAUGCCACGUCAUCACACCCGUCCACCAGGGUGGUACACAAGCCCCCCAGUCUUAAGCGAGGACUUGUCUAGCGAAAAGACUGAAAGAGCCCUCGUCAACACCGAUCUACGUGGCACUGACGCAGAAUUCCAAGCGAUCGUACUUUCUGCUGCUCUGACGCUCCACCAAACCCUUCACCGAUCGCUCGACACGUGGCUUCAUCAACGGCUCUCUUCAUCUGCCGUUAGCGCUUCCAAAACUUAUUUCGAAAACCCUUAAACCCCUUACGCUCCUACUGUUCCAUCACUUUCUUCACACUUGCAUACGCUCUCAGUUCCUUCUGCGAAAGCUCUCGACGUUCCUCGACGCUCUAGAUCACCACCUCCCUUCAACGUUCUCCUGAUCAUCGAAAGGUAACUACUUUCCUUCAUCUGCUGGGUUUCCUUGCAUUUUCACCGAUUUGCAUCAUCCUGUAACUGUCUGGUGCAUACGCUGUGGGCUGUUUUUCCAUUUCUUCUUNNNNNNNNNNNNNNNNNNNNNNNNNNNNNNNNNNNNNNNNNNNNNNNNNNNNNNNNNNNNNNNNNNNNNNNNNNNNNNNNNNNNNNNNNNNNNNNNNNNNGACAGCGUAUUCUAUGAAGGACAAAGGCAAGGAUGGCACUUCUCUUUCUUCUUCCUUUGCAGUUGCUACCAUGACUCGCACCAAGAUUACCCCGAACCCCCCUCCAUCAGCGCGAAACCCUCCUUCACAAGCACACGACUCGACACAAGUUCGUGGUGCUCCCUCUUCGCAGGCUGUGAGGCCUGCAUCUUCCCAAACUGCCCUGGCUCGGGCGACUCCAUCUAACGAUGGAGGAGCCCCCAUCCCUCUGCCAGACUUCAAGACUUUAUACCCAUGGGCUAACCCAACCCUCUUAAAGGAGACCUCGUCGGUGAACACUGCGGGAGCGGUUCUGCGAUUGACCAAUGGGGACGAGGCCCACCAAUCGUUUCACAAGGAGCACGAUGAGAGAAUGAUGGUGUUGCCUUGCCCCGCCGCUCUGCCAGUGUGCGCCGAUGACAAAGUGAGCGCCGAUGGGCCCUUCUGCUUCGUCUACACAACUUUUUUCAAGAAGGUCAAGCUCAGGUUCCCUCUCACUCGAUUUGAGAGGGAACUCUUAACCGAGCUCAACAUCGCUGCCGCCCAGCUUCACCCCAACAGCUGGGCGUUUGUCCGAGCCUUCGAGAUAACGUGCGCCCACCUGGGGUUGCCCGCGUCAGUGGACGUGUUCUUAUUCCUGUUUGAGGCCAAACACCCAGGAGAUCGCCUGUGGGUAAGCCUGAAUGCCAUUGCUGGGAGAUCCAUUUUCACCAUCUUCCAGCAGUCGUACAAGGAUUGGAAGGGGAAGUUCAUCCAGGUUCGCGCAAACGAUAAAGACACUUCCCUUCUCGACGGUUUCCCCUUGUACUGGGUGGACAAGGGGAAAAAGGAGUCCAAGAGCUGCUUCAGGAGGCCCAGAAGUCCUGAUAGCAUGGGAGCUUUGGACCGAGACCUUUGCCUAUUCUGGAAGAGGGUGGCAGAUGCCAACAUAACAUUCUUGACCCCCACCCUGAUCUCCUUCGAGUUCUUUGAGGACCAGUUGGAAUUCCAAAUAGGUUAGGACGCUACACUCUUGUCUUGAUAUUGCUUCUGAUACUGUUUCUAGGCGUCUUGUGCGACACGCACAAGACUUUGGUUUUAUCUUUUCUGCAUAUGCCUGUUUUUGCUGUCUCAUUGCCUUGUACACUUUUCCUUUUUCCCCUUUGAGAUAACUCAUGCACUUUCGUUUCACGCAGCUGGAAUUGCCCCUUGACCAGCUGAGGCCCUAUGGAGGGUGCUUAUAUGGAUUCGCUGGUGACCAGGUGGAGGUCAAGGGGUACAUUGAGCUGAGAACCACGUUUACAGAUGAGGCUGGGUCGAGGACGGAGAAAAUCAAGUACCUCAUCGUAAACGCCCCUUCAGCAUAUAACAUCCUGUUGGGAAGGCCCACUCUUAACAGGAUAGGUGCCAUCCCGUCGACACGGCACAUGAAGGUGAAGUUGCCAUCGAUGGAAGGGGUGGUGAUCACGAUAAAGUUUGAUCAGAAAGAAGCGAAAAGGUGCUAUGAGAAUAGCCUGAAGAGUAAAAGAUGCACUUUGAUUUACAAGUGCGGCUAUAGGUGAAGCCACAUUCGUAAAUCAAGCGCUUUGAUUUACAAAUGCAACUGUUUAUGAUCAGUUUUAGUCUGUAGUACUCAGAAACCCUAUACCUUUUCCUGGGGACUCAAGCCCCUUUUAUAGAUAUCCCUUCAACAACAUUCACUAGCGAGAAUAUAAUCUCAACAUAAAGCAUUUAAUCAUAACAGAAAAACCACCUGUUCACGUGGACCUCUUAUCUUCGGGUGCUAACAACAGGAACAUAUUUUGUUUUACAUGUGCACCAUCACUCUCGGGUGCUAACAAUUUUAUUCCCAACAACUUUGACUUACAUUUAAUUAAAAACUUAUAUAUUCAUUAAUGUAUAUUCAACUAACAACUUUUAUAUUCACAUAUAUAUUUAACUAACAACUUUAUAUUCACAUAUAUAUUUAACUAAAAGAUUUAUAUUCACAUAUAUACUUAACUAACAUCUUUAUAUUCACAUAUAUACUUAACUAACAACUUUAUAUUGACAUAUAUACUUAACUAACCACUUUAUAUUCACAUAUAUACUUAACUAACACAUGCCUUAUAGCCAAACUUAAUAUUUUCUGCUUUUUUAUGAGCUUACCAUUAAAACUGGGCUGAGCCCAUGUGAUGUGAGUUGAUUUUUAGAUGUUUUCAUUUAAGGUGACACUUUACUUUAAGAUUGAGAUUUUAGAGGUAAAAUGGUGAUGACCUUAGAAAAAUUCCCAUUGGACACUAACUUAACCAAGUGGUUAUGUAGGUGUGAAGGUGCAUUUCACAAAGGCAAAGAUAAAAGACAUUGUAUGGUGAGAAUGUAUACAAAUUGAGGAAAUAAAGAAGAAAGCUAGGAAAAAUCAAUGGAAAGGAAACAUGAAGGAAAUAGAAGAAGAAACUUAUGAAGAUGGUGGUGGGUGGUCACGCCACUUGGUGGGUGGAAACCACCAAGAUAAGUGUUAGGCCACCACUUGAGAGUUUCAUUCUCUUCAAGAUAAGACCAAAAGGAAGAAGAGACAAUACUCACUCAAACUCUCACAAUAUUUGUGCAUAGUAACUUUUCUAUUCAAUUUAAACAUCUAAAAUAUAAUGGGUAGGCCUCCUAUUUAUAGGUGAAGGAGCCUUGGAAAACAAGCAAGAAGGGUAGGAUGGGAAAAGGGAAAAAAUGGGCAGCCUUUGAAAGUUGGGUUUCAACCUUGAUGGCAAGGUGAACCAAUUUUUGUAAAGAUGAAUACUCAUAAAGUUCCACCACAUCUUGGAUUUCCCUUCUUAGUCCACUUACAAAUCUAGCCAUUUUAGAUUCCUCACUUUCAUGCAUAUCAAUUUUGGUUAAAGUCGUUUCAAGCUCUUUAAAAUAAUCAUCAACACUUUUUGUUCCUUGUUGAAGUCAUUGGAGCUUCAACAAGAGUUCCUUCCUAUAGUGAGGAGGAACAAACCUAGCACGCAUGCAUAACUUUAAAUCAUCCCAAGAGACCACAAAUGGCCUUUUGUUAAGUUCAAUGUCCAUUACAGUUUUAUGCCACCACUGCAUGGCAUAGUCUAAAAAUUCUAAGGAGGCUAACUUGACUUUUUGGUCUUCUUGGACCUCAUGUACAUUAAAAAUUUGUUCAACUUUAGUCUCCCAUCCUAGGUAAAUGUUGGGAUCACCUUCCCCACUAAAACUAGAAAUUUUUACAUAUAUAAGGCAAAGAAAUUUUAGGAGCAUGGUGCGGAUGUUGGCGCCUCUCCUUAAAGUGGUUCAACCUCCAAUCUUCUUCUUCCUCAUGGCUACCAUAUUGAGUUAAACUCCUUGUAGCUCUUCUAUGCUCCCAUCUCCUUGGUUGUCUUCCAUGAGCCAAUUCAAGCCUUUGGAGCCUCUCCUCCAUUUGUCUCAUUUCUUCAUCCUUUUGUGUUAGGGACCUUUUUGUCGCUACUAACUUACCCAUAAGGAAUGCCUUUUGGGGGGAUUGCGGUUUUGAUGACUCCCCUGAAGAAAGAUGAGCCAUAAUUCACAAGUGAACAAACAAUUAGUGAAAUAGAAGUUAGAAAAUACCCUCUCAAGUUUGCAUCACUUUUGGUGAAAAGAAAAAUCGAGAGGAGCACACUCAAAAAGAAUUUUAUCCUCUCACAAAGGUCUAUCUUGAGGUUGAAAACUCUCAAAUGAAAAAGUUUAAAGCCUUAAACACUUGAUCUUAAUGGAAACCGCAACAAAACUUAAGGAAGAAAUACAAAAGACAAUCAAGAAAAGCUUAAGCAAGAAAAGCUAAACCAAAUUUGAGAAAGAGAGUAUGACAAAACUUGAAAAGGAAGACAAGCAAGAAAAAGACACACAAAAAGACUCUAAGAUACUUACUAAACUUUUAACAAUGAAACUUUUUCUUUAUGAAUUGUUAAAGCAAAAGGAUAAAAUUUCCACAAUGGUUGAAAUCAAUUUGCCAAUCAAGUUGAACCCCAAAUUUUGAAAUGUUUUUCUUUAAGAAAAUGGAACCCCAAAUUUGCGUUUCACACCUUUUUUUUUAUACUAGUUUUUGAAUUGUGGAAAUGAAAUGUCCAUUGUUUUGAUCAUGCAUAUUUUCCAAUAGCUCCAAUUUUCACAAAAAAAUUUGGGAUUCAAAAUAAUUGAUCACUUGAAAUCUUUUGUUUGGAACUUAAAUCUACUUCUACUAAAACAAGUUUCUAAUUACUUCUUAAAAUUUCAAAAUUAAAAGCAAAGUAAAUAGAAUCAAAGUAAGGACUCCUAGAACACUAAUGAACAUAUGACUCAAAGCAAAAGGCAAGAACACAAUAAGACACAAAAUAACAAUCCAAAAGCGAAACAAAGCUAUGGAAAAGUAAAAUGGCCGAAUGAAAUUGCAAGAAAAAUAAAGGGCUGAAAAUUAAAUUGAAAGAAUGUAAAAACAAGAAUUUAAAGGUACUUGAAUGUAAAGAUAAGGAAUUAAAGAUGCAAGAAAGUAAAGUGCCAAUCAACUAAGAUAAGCUCAAAAACCAAAGCUCUGAAUACCACAUGAUGUGAGUUGAUUUGUAGAUGUUUUCAUUUAAGGUGACACUUUACUUUAAGAUUGAGAUUUUAGGGGUUAAUUGUGAUGACCUUAGGAAAAUUCUCACUGGACACUAACUUAAUCAAGUGGUUAAGUAGGUGUGAAGGUGCAUUUCACAAAGGCAAAGAUAAAAGACAUAGUAUGGUGAGAAUGUAUGCAAAUUGUGAAAAUAAAGAAGAAAGCUAGGAAACAUCAAUGGAAAGGAAACAUGAAGGAAAUGGAAGAAGAAACUUAUGGAGAUGGUGGUGGGUGGUCAUGCCACUUGGUGGGUGGAAACCACCAAGAUAAGUGCUAGGCCGCCACUUGAGAGAUUCAUUAUCUUCAAGAUAAGACCAAAAGGAAGAGCAGACAAUACUCACUUAAGCUCUCACAAUAUUUGUGCAUAGUAACUUUCUAUUCAAUUUCAACAUCUAAAAUAAAAUGGGUAGGCCUCCUAUUUAUAGGUGAAGGAGCCUUGGAAAACAAGCAAGAGGGGUAGGGUGAGAAAAGGGAAAAAAUGGGUAGCCUUAGGGUUUGACUAAGUCAAACCCGCAUCCUACGCUUGUCCUUUUAGAAACUAGGUCAAAUUUCCUUAGCUAAACUGAUACCUACACCCCUAUUAUGCUAAAGGCACCUUAUUCUAGCCUAUCUUUGCUAUUUGGACCCUAAAGUGAGCCUAAUUUAUUUACAACUUGUUUUAUUCUUUAAGAAAACUAACAUGAAAAACAUUAGAUGCUCUGGUUUGUGUCAAUUUCUUCCUCUGGUGAGGUCUGCUAAAUCUUUGGUGAGGUCUUCACUUUGUUGAACCAAGUGGUGUUCAAUAUUUUUGAAGAAUCCAAAUCCUUUGAAGGAUGUUGAAGCCUCUGCUUUGCUUGAUGUUGCUGUGCUGGUUUAAGCUUUGUUCUGGGGUAGUUAUAUGUUGUAAUCCACCCUUUGAUUAAAUCUCAAGCAAUUAGCAUCUCAAUCUUUAUGAAAGUAAAAUGUUUUUUCAAACUAAGUUGAAACAACCGAUUGUUUUGUUGAAACAACCGAUUGUUUAUACUUAGGUGUUUUGAGAAAGAUUGAAAACUGUUUUUGAAUGGUUGAAACUGUUAAGUACCAAAACAACCGAUUGAUUCGAGGAAAAAACCGAUUGUUUAUUUUGGAAUCAUAACAAAAAAAUUGUUUUAUGUUUGNNNNNNNNNNNNNNNNNNNNNNNNNNNNNNNNNNNNNNNNNNNNNNNNNNNNNNNNNNNNNNNNNNNNNNNNNNNNNNNNNNNNNNNNNNNNNNNNNNNNNNNNNCUUUGAAUAUAUUAAGAAAAACAGAUUUGAGAAUUAAGAAUCUUUUGACAAAAUUUUGUAAAGAGUUUUUCAAAGAGCUGAGAUUGCUAAGAGUUUGUGAUUGAUCAAGGUGCUGGAAUAGGAUUCUACUUGUAUUGAUUUCAGAUAUUCAUCUGUAACAAGUGUAAUCUUUGUACUCUGUUGAACAAUUUUGUUUCCGUGUUUGCUGAGAUUGGCUGUGUGUUCUUGAGGUGUUCAAGAUAAGCAAUCUUAGUGUUGGCCAAGGAGAGCGUGUUUCUUGAGGUGUUCAAGGUCAUUCUCUUGGUUGUUGUGUAAGUGAUCAAGGUGUGGUUGCUUAGUGGAUAUCCUCAAGGUUUCUGAGAAGACUGGAUGUAGCUCUGGUUUGGAGUGAACCAGUAUAAACAACUGUGUACAAUCUCUCUAUCUCUAACUCUUUAAAUUCAGUUUAUUUGUUGUUUGCUGGUAUAAACAACCGAUUGUUUCUACGAAACAACCGAUUGUUUUUCUGGUACUACAACUUUUGCUUGCUGUUUUGGCUAACUAAAUUGUUGAAUCAAUUGGUUUCUAAGAUAAAUUCAUUCUAGUUUUUGAAAAGUUUGCGAAAACCCUUUUAAACUAUUCACCCCCCUCUAGUUUAAAGCCAUCUUUUCUAACACACUUGAUUGUUGAGAUGACUUCUCAUAGUGUGCAUCCUUUGUCAUCUCCUUGUUGUCUUGGUUUGCAUCACCAUCACCCGCUUUUAGGCCCAAAGUCGACCUAACCACAGCCAAAAGCUUGGAUCGAGGUCUCGAGCAUUCCUGUUAAGUACAACUACCUACUACUUUUAUCUCGCUUCUUACUAUUCUUGGAAGGUCCAGUGCUAGUAUUCCGGUGUUGUUGGUUUCAAUCACAACUUCAACCCGAGAGAUAGGUUCAACAAGUUCAAUCUUUGUUUCGUGUUGAACUUCCCUUUCAAGUUGAGGGGUCAAACCACCAAUUUUGGUGAAUAGUUUUGAAAAGUAAGCUCGCCCUUUCGGAUUGGUAGCAGCCAUCAAACCUAAAACCCUACAAAAAAUUUAGCAAAGUUAAAUUUCUCUUGCUUGAAAAAGAAAAAACUCAAAAAAAGCACACACUGAUAAAAUCCUUUUGUGGUUUACGAGAGGUGUAUAAUCGUAGAAAAAUGCGAGUAGGAAUUUUUCGGGAUAAGUGAUCAAGCACCGAAAGAACAUGUCAGUCUUCUACACUCAUUGAAUGAUAUGACCAUGAGUUAAACUUCAAAGGGGAUCGCGUAUGGAAAUUUUGGGAUGUCGCCAUCAUAGAAAUAAUUUUUUUCGACUUUUUCAAUAAGAAUUUUGACAAAACCGUAGGAGAAAGAAGACAAGUUUUUGACUGACUAAUCAAAGAAAACCAACUUGGUCGCUUACCGAGCCGAGAACUAUAAAAUUAAAGAAAAACUCCCGGACUAGGAGACAAUGAAAAUAAUUUACAUAAAAUACUAAAAGCUUGCAUAGAAGCCCAACUAUUAGGGUGAAGUUGAGUAGGGGCAACAUUGAGAAGGCGAAGAACACCCAUUUGAAAUUCAUCUAAUGGAAACCGAAUAUGAAUGUCUGUAGAAAGACAUUCAUAAAAAUAUAAGAAAUCACAAGUCUCGCCUUCAAGACCAUGACAAACAUUGUCAAUAGCUCGGACUCGCCGAAAAUAAACGAUUUCUUCAGUGGUAUCAGGAGAAUGAUUUUAAGUUUUAGAAAGAAAACUACGAAGGGAUGAAGAAUAGAGAUACCGAGAGAAGUAUUCUCGAACUUUAGGGUUAACCCAAUCAUAGCUAAGACAAAGAUGCCUGUUCUCUUCUUCUCUCUCGGUUCUUUCUUCAACCUCAAGGUCAACUUCUCUAGUUAAAGUACAAAUUUUAUUUUUCACAAAAGAAAUGGUAGCAGAUGAAGCAGACGAAUGAAUAUCUUUAUUGGUCUCAAUCACUCUCCAGUAGCCUCGUUACUCGCGCUCGAAAACCCCAAAAAUUCGUCAGAAAUGAAACAGAGCUUGAGGAAGACAUAAUACCUUCUAAGAAUAUUUGUCUAAAUCUCUCAGAUGCAAGAAUACAAAAGUAGCAAAAGCAGUAGGGUUUACCAUUUGAAACCAAAUAUUUAUAGUGUUCCUAAAAUCAUUACACGUGAAACGUCAUAACAUCGUGAUCGUUGAAUUGAAAUACAUCCAAAGAUCGAGGAUUAAUGAGCUUUCACAUCAAACGGCACAAUAAAAGUGACACACGUGAAACGAUGCAAUCUAUUCGUACGAAAACGCAUUUAAUAUGCAAAAUCUCAUCAAUGUCAAAAUCAAAGUCAUUUCCAAAAAAUCUCUAGUGUCUAGGCGGAAAGGUUGACCAAAAGGUUGACCGGAAGGUGAAAAUCAAAUAAAAGAUAAGAAACGAAUAAAUAAAUAGUUACGGUAGCAAAGCCCAUUAAAGGGUCCAAAACAUAAAGAGUGUGUUUAAAGAAGAUUAGUUGCAAAGAGUAAAGCCCAACUGGGUUGAAGGCCCAAUAACAAAGUGGUAUAAAUAGGUGAUCAACCCAAGAGGUAAGGAGAGUGAAUUUUAUCUGAUCAUUAAUUAAAACCAAUUCUAACUUUAUCAUCGAAGCUCCUUGCAAGUACACACAACCAUUCGUGAGAGGACAUUGAGAUAAAAAACUAAGAGAUUAAGUUGACCAGUCCAGUGAGCAAGAGUCUACAAACCAAACCCAAGCCCAAAUCAAAGAAAUAACAAACCCAAAACCUAAACUGAAAAAAAAUCGAGAAAUCGAUAGGUUCAGAAGAAGAAAGAAAAAGUUUAUUUCUGAACCCUAAGAAUAAUAAGAAAAUCCAUAUAAACAAUUUAGUAAAUAUGUGUUCAAAAUUUUAAAACUAAAGAUAAAAAGGAAUCCAUUUUCUUUAGAAUUAAAUAAAAUAUAAAAAAGAACACACGGAAUAAAAAAAAUAGUAUAAUGAAUCAUGUUCCACAAAUUUCUAAUCAGAUUACUAAUCAUUAGUCGUUUUUUACGUACUCAUAAUCAAUCAAUCAUUCUUUAUGAACACAUCACAUUCACAAAUCUUUAGUAGAGCAUUAUGAACCCAUACUUUUGAUGGAAUACUUUAUCUUCUGAAUUUCUAAGCUAAGCCCAGUUUUUUCAAAAUAAUUCAACUCAUAUAUCUUAGCACACAUAUAACCUGAGAAUAAAAUCCUUCAAAAGAGUGACAAGAAAUUAUACAUUUUAUUUCGAGGUUAGGGACUUGUCAAACACCGUUAUGUAAUUCUAUAUGUAAGGCAAAUUUUUAAAAAUUAUUUAUAUUUGUUUAUGUUCUCGCCAGCUGAUCUUGGUCGGACUUGGAAAAGGCUGAAGUGACUUUGCUUGAUGUGUUGUCGAGAUGAAAAUGCUUUGUGACGAAGGGGGCUCCACCGUUAGAGCAUUCAAACUAUAAAUUUAUAUUAGUGUAGGGUUCAAAAAAGCUUAUCUUUACUCAAGAUUUUAAACCCCUUUUAUAGACAUUCCUUCAAUAAUUUUCACCAACUAGAAUAUUAUUUUAACAACAAGAAUAUAAUUUCAACAACAAAAAUAUAAUUUCAAGAGUAUGAAUAUUUUGUUAAUGUGUAUUUUUAUAUUUCAGGUACAAUACCACAUCAUUCCUAACAACUUUUAUUUGUAUUUAAAAUAUAUAUACACUUUCAUUAAUUCAACUACUUCCAUUUGAUUUUACUUUUAAUAAUUUGUUUCCUAUGGACUGCCAAAUAUUUGAAUCGACCUUGUGACACGACAUUGGAUCCAUACCUGUCCCAGGUCAAACUAGGUAUUUCUCACAUGACUCGUCUAACUGAGCUACUACACUUAAAUGUUUGGAAUGAGAAUCCAAACACGUCCGACUAGUAGAAUUUUUUUAUUUUUAAAUAAAAUUUUAUGUUAUAUAUAUAUAUAUAUAUAUAUAUAUAUAUUACACUAUCCUUAAUUACUUUACAAUAAAUACUAUAUUAAAGUAAAAUAAAUUAUUUUUUCUUUUAUAAGAAACCGGACUAACACAUAUUAACUAAUUAGGUGAAAAACAAUCGACUGAAAAUGGUAAAGUCACGGGUGUUAAUAAAUUUAAAUAUAUAUUCUCUUAAAUAUUUAUAUCGAAAGUAGAAUAUGGCACUGUAAUAAAUGAUUGACUCUUAAACACUAUUAAACAUUAAUCAAAUAAAAAAUGUAAGAAUGACCAUAUAAUGCAUGAGUUGAAAUCAAUAUUUAAUUUUUUUUAAUAAUAUUUGUUACAUGACAGAUAUGUUAAUUGACGGUUUCCUAACAACAAUCCAAUUUUUAAUAUCGAGUUUUUGACUUCUUAUGAGAUCUUUUUCUAAGAACAUAUGUCUAACAGAUCAAACUUCCAUAUAUUUUAUACAACUUGACUUUGUAGACCGAGUGAUGCAACACCAAUUAAACAAAUUAAUUUUGAAAUAAUAUUCACCUAAAUCAUUGAACCAAUGAAGAUCACUGACUCUCUGACUAUAUAUAUAUACUGUUGCUAUUAAUUCCUCCCAGAAUUUCUAUCUUCCUACUUUUGUAUACGUUUUCUUCUCUCUUAAAGCAAGCUCUGUGUUUUUAUUUAUUUAUUUUUCUUGAAAAUCAUUGGCACAUUCCAUUACUUGUCCUAGUUGUUCAUCAGAUGUGAUUUUAAAUAUUUUUUUAUUUCAAUGUCAAAACUUUCAACAACUAAAAAAUAACCCACCUUCGUACUUGGAAAUAAUAUGGAAAGUUCACAUAAACAAACAAUUCAGUAGAAAAUAUCUGACAAAAGAUACAAAAUCACUGCAAGAAUUAACAUGCAUAAAAUAAUUUACUUUACGGAGCUUUUCACGAAACACUACAUCAAGUUGUGCAUCAAGAGUAUUGUCGCACAGAAUCUUUCCAUUAUUAUGAGAAGCCAACAUCACCCCCCACCAGAAUAAUAAAUAUAUAAGCAACAACACAACUACUUAUAAAAAUAAAUUUAACAUAUCUUGUAGAAAAUUUUGACUCCGAUUAAGUGAGUUACUGCGAUUUGUUUUUCUCCUAGAAGGAGCAGCGUUGCUAACGGAUUACCGACUGUUUUGAGUAACCUCUGGAAGAUCAUUUUGGAUACGAGGGGUUUUGAAAACUCCCGGUAUUGUUAGGGGUUUUCAAAACCCCCGCUAUUUUUAGGGGUUUUCAAAACCUCCGGUAUGGUUAGAGUUUAGAAACUAAAGUAUUAUCCGGAGUUUUUUAACCUCCAGUAUUUAUAAAAAUCUUGGUAAAUAUUUUCUAUCCUUUCUACAUUAGAUUUUGUACUUAGUUAUGUCUAUGCAGCAAUGCCAUUGGGACACUGCAUAUUAGGUGGCUUUUUAUAAUGAAGAACAAGAUCAUUCGCCUUCACAUUUAAAGUUUUUCUUGUUAAUCUUUGCAAAAGAUAAAGCCCAAGCCCAAGAAGGCCAAAGCCCACAAAAGUCCAAAGACCAUCCCAUGAAGGGCAAAGCCAAGUUUUAAAUAAAUAUUGUUUAGAAAGGUGCUUAGAGGGAAACAUUAGAAACCUCUAUUGUUAAAACAUCUUUUAGUCUUUAGUUAAGAGUCUUAGGGGGGGGGGGGUGUUAGUAGAUAGGUGUAGGAGUAAAUAAGGAGGUGCCAAAGUGAGAGAAGGGAUCACACCUUCCUCAUGCUUUGUUUUAGGCGCAAAUUCUAGAAGCUUUUUAGGAGGGAGUUUUUUUUAAAUUUGUGUAGCUUACUUUUCAGCACCUUAGGCUAUAAAUAGAGGUGCUCUCUUUGUAAAAAUUCAGAUUGGAAUUAAUCUAAGAAAACUCUACUCAAAUUUUGAGUGACCUUUGGAGAGCUUUUGGAGCCUUCUUCUCUAGUCUUAUCUUGAUGGAUCAAUGGAGUCCUCAAGUGGCGGCAUCACUCUCAUCUAGGAGCAUUCCACACUUCUAGUGGCGAGAUCAUCCAUCCUCCUUCCAUCUUCAUGAGCAUUCUCUUCUCCUUCCUUUCUUCUUCUUCAAUUGUUCAUGUUGCUUUGUGUUCUUGAGUUUUUUCAGUUUCGGUUUUUCUAUUUUCCAGCACUUGUUCUGUUUUGUUGUUUAAUUCUGUUCGGUCAUUCCAGUUUUCAUAUCUUUGUUGAUUCAAUUUGACAAUAUUUGGUUCAUCCAAAUGAGUUUGGGAUUUGGUGCUAGUUAUUGGUGAGUUCUUGUCUUAGAACCAUGAUCCAACUCUAAGAAAAGUGCCUCUAUAUUUUCCAGCUCAAGGUGAUUCCUAAAAAUGUCAAGAAUCUUGUUCUAUGUGGCUAUUGGAAUCACAUCAACAAGUGUAGUAAAAAAAAAUUUUAACAUUUAAUUUUUCAAUCAUAAGUAAUUAAGGUAAAGAAGAUUCAUAGUAAUGCUUCUUUCUUAUAGUGAAAUUAAAUGAUGGAAAAACUUAAUUCAAUUUGUCUCUUCCAUAAGGUAGCUUGUGUGUAGGAAUAAUGUAAAAGUUAAGAAAGGGUUGAAAUUAAUAUCUUCAUGAAUGACAAAUGGAGUAAUAGUUUAAAUAUAAGUUAAAAUUAAUAUACUUUUAAUUUAUUUUUAAAUUUUUUCUAAAAAAAUAAGGUUUUGUUUUCCUAAGAAAAGCCUGUUCCAAACAAUGCAUCAUUUAUAACCAUUCAAAUUCAACAUUUCUAAAGGCAUGCAUUAACUCAAUUGGAUAAAACUCUUGACCUCCUCUUAAAACACCUUUAAUAUUCCCCUAUUCGUUUUUAAAUGUCAUUUAAGAUUAUCUUUAGAAAAUAAAAAUCAAGAAAUACAAUACUUUUUAUUUUAAUAUUUUUUUUUCAUUUCUACAUCAUCGUAAGUAAACUAAUUAUAUAUCAGGUAAAAAUACAAUGAUGUAAAUAAUAGAAGAGUAACUAAUUGCAUUUGCAGUAAUCAAGUAUGCCUAGUUACUAUUCUUAGAAGAUAUAUAAAAAGGCCAACUAAUCAGAAAUUAGGUAACUAUAAUCAACAAACUUUACAUAAACUCAUUAUAAAUUUAUUCAAAAAUAUGGAAAACAUGCUAGUUGCAUAUUCAUACCAAUAAUUUAUAAUCAUCAUCAUGGAAAUAUUGUAACAACCAAAAAAUAAGCAUUUUAAUGGUUAAACAAAGGAGUCAAAAUUUAGAUAUAUCACAAUUCAAAAGAAAGAUGCAUAUAUAGAGGUUAUAAAAUACAUAACAAACUCCGACAACAAAUAGAAUAAUAAUAGUCAAACAAACUAUAGUAUAUUUGAAAUCAAAUCCUACCUUAGAUAUCUAGAGGGCAUAUUUUUUACCUAUCAUUAUAUGACUUCCAAUCAUUCUUUGCCACAGUAACAAAAUAAGCAUCAAAAGUUAUUUUAAAAAUAAACUAUAUUACUUGCAAUGUUAAAACACUAGAAUGGUUCUUAAUCUGGAUCAUUUGUUUCAUCAUUAGGAACACUUCCUUGAUCAGAUGCCUAAUAUAUAAAAAAUAGUCAUAAUUAGUAGCAUUUCAAUUAUAAUAUAAAAUAUAUAUUAAUUUAAUCAAGAUUUAAAUAUUAUCGGUGAUGUGUGAAACAUAACAAAAUCACAACCAAUUCUCCUUGAUAGUUUUGCACCAAAACAAAUCAUCAUUGCCUUCAUUUCAUUAACUUGUGAUGUUAAUGAAGAAACCUAGUUUAGAACACAAACUUCAUUUCAUUAACAUAUUUAAUAAGAAUUAAAAUAAGUUCUAAAUAUAAAGUUUAAACAUAAAUAAUAUAUGGAUACACAAUUAAACAAGUAAAAACAAUAUGAUAAAGUAAAAGUAAAAAAUUAUUAACCAGAUUUUGUAAAUGUGUAUAGGAAGGAAAACUUGAAGAUGUUCCACUAUAUGAAUGAGCACCGUAACCAAACACUUUAGGUGGGCAAGGACCCAAACCUAAACCCCUAACACGUCCACAAUGUUCUCGGCUUCCGAAAACAUAAACUAAGGAAUCAAUAUUUGAUAUUUCUUUUGAUGUGAAUGGUGAUGAGGUUAAUUCAUAUGCUUGAACUUUUUACUAGAAAGAGCACAAGAAGAAACUACUUAAUAUUACAUUAAAUGUGGUUGAAAAUUAUAUAAUUUAUUAUAAUUGAACUUACACCAAUUUCCCUUGCUUCAUCACUCACAAAUGCUCCAUUAGCAUGUUUAUGUGUAGCUAUCCAUACAUCUCCUCUACUAACCUUGUGGCCACACUCUUUUUCCUAUUAAAAGGAAGAAAAAUUAUGACACAAUGUAAGAGAGAUUAAAACAUAAAUUUGACAUGAACAUUGUCCCGAUCAGGGAAAGCUGCAUGCAUGGCACAUGAAUGCUUAGGGAACCCACAAAGCAUAUGGCGCUAGAGAUUAGGUGCACAAGUUGGUACCCAAGCGACCACUCUGUUAUUCGUUGCACUCCAGUUAAGGGAAGUUCAUGUGCCAGAUACGCUAAGAUUAUGUAAAUAGCGGCGCAAGGACAUUCCCCAAGGAACCCUAGAUAAGGGUAACAACACAAAGGUAAACCCUAGUUUCAACCUAUAUAAAGGGUCCAAGAACCCUAGCAAGGUACAUAGUUUCUAAGAUUGAAGUUAAUAUACACUCUUGGUGUUUCUUUGCCCUUAUACUGACUUGAGCGUCAGAGUGCAAACGACCAUCAAGGUGCCCCUUUAUCAUUGUAGGUGAGAGCUUCUUUGAUAAAGGAAGUACGAUUCUCAGGCGGAGAUAGAAGGGCCAAAAGCUCUUGUUCGAGUGAACCGGCGAAGCGAGUCAAUCGACAAGAACAUUUGGCGCCCACCAUGGGGCCCGUUAAAGAAAGGUCCCACUCACAAUCGUGUUAGGAAUCUUUACGUGUUAAGAAUCUUUACCAGCAAUAUGAGGAGUACGAGGCAAGGACAUACUGCACCCACAGGAGUUGUACCCCGUGGAGGGGACAACGUUACUACACAACAAAUCUUGGAGACUAUGAGUGCCCUCCAAGCAGAGGUGGUGGCAUCCAGGGUUGUAAUUGUCGCAUCACGAGUGAACAACGAAGAACUGCAUAGAGCCAAUGAGGAACUGCGCAGGGAUUUGCAACAAGUAGGGGAACGCGCGGUGGACGAACGUGCCCCACCUGUGCCACUCAGGGCACGUCCCAUGCUGUUCUCAUAGGCGAUCAUGGAUACAGCGUUACCGACCACGUCUCUGGGCCCGAAGGUCACCUUCACAGGAGUAGAGUACCCAGAUGCCCACACACAGAUGAUGCUUACAGGAAGAUCUGACGUUGUGUACUGCAAGUUGUUCAUGAGCACGUUGGCAGGCGCGGCGUUGGAAUGGUUCGUUAGCCUUCCCAACGAACAUAUCACCACCACCUUUGACCAGUUUGCGACGCUGUUCAGGGAACAGUACCUUGUCAACAAAGCCCCCACUCGGCUUUCUUAUGAUUUCUUCGAUAUUAAACAAUAUUAGGGGGAGUCCAUGAAGGACUACUUGAACAGAUUUGAGGUCCAGGAGGUGAGGUUGAAACCCACGGAUGAGGCCAUGACGGUGCAUGCCUUUGUCAAGGGAAUCUUUCCAGGAGCUUUCAGCGAAUCGCUGCUAAGGUUAUACCCGAAGACGUUCACCGAAAUCAGACGUCGAGCGUUGGCACACAUCGCUGCAGAUGAUCGAGUAACGGAGAAACAGGGUUUGGUCGGUCCUAUCCGACCUCGAGCAGCAGGACGACCUCAGCCCAUGAGGGUGCAUGAGGCGACCAAGAGAAGAAGGGAGCAGGAAAACCCUACAAACGGUUCCAGGCGAGGACGCGCACACGGAGGGACCCGCCCCCGAAGCAUAAUUUUCGAGUGGAGCUCAAGGAGUUCAUCACUAUCCCAAAUAUAGCAGCAAGGCUUUAGGUGCCCGCAUAGAAUAUAUGGCCUUAAACGAGAGAGGGGUGAAUUGUUUAAGAAGAAUUUUCGUAAACUUUUAAGCCUAGAAUGAAAAAUACUUCAAGAAAACCUUGAUUAAGAAUUCACUUUUUCAAAACAUAAAGCAAAAGCACAAUAUUGCAAAAACAAUCGGUUGUUUUACCGAAAGAAUCGGUUGUUUAUACCAGUUUUUAAUUGACAAAACUGAAUUUAAAGAGAUAGGGAUAGAGAAAUUGUACACAGUUGUUUAUACUGGUUCACUCCAAAUCCAGAGCUACAUCCAGUCUUCUCAAAAACCCUGAGGAUAUCCACUGAGCAAUCACCACUUGAUCACUUACACAACAACCAAGAGAAUUACCUUGAACACUUCAAGAAACACACUCUCCUUGGCCAACAUUAAGAUUGCUGAUCUUGAACACCUCAAGAACACACAACCAAUCUUAGUAAACACAGAAACGAAAUUGUUCAACAGAGUACAGGGAUUACACUUGUUACAGAAGAUAAUCUGAAAUCAAUACAAGCAGAAUCCUAUUCCAGCACUUUGAUCAAUCACAAACAACUUAGCAAUCUCAACACUUUGAAAAAAUCUCUUAUAAAAACUUUGUCAAAGAUUCUUAAUUCUUCAAUCUGUUUUUCUGAAUAUAUUCAAAGAUGUAGUUUGUUAUCAAAUCUUAACAAACUCUUAAAUUGCAUUAAAAGAGUGGUCAAAGCAUUUAAUGACUGGAGCGUAAGCAGUUAAAUCAUUUAAAGCUCAAUCAAAGAAAACAGUUUUUAUGUUAUGGUCCCAAAACAAACAAUCGGUUGUUUUCUCGAAUCAAUCGGUUUUUUUGGUACUUAAUAGUUUAACCAUUCAAAACAGUUUUCAAACUUUUUCUCAAAACACCUAAGUACAAACAAUUGGUUGUUUCGACAAAACAAUCGGUUGUUUUUACUUAGUUUGAAAUUAUUUUAUUUUCACAAAGUUUGAGAAUGCUAAUGCUUUAGAUUUAAUCAUAGGGUGGAUUACAACAUAUAAACUACCCCAGAACAAAGCUUAAACCAACACAGCAACAUCAAGCACAAUAGAGGCUUCAACAUCCUUCAAAGGAUUUGGAUUCUUCAAAGCUUGAACACCACUUGGUUCAACAAGUUUCACUGAGCAAAUGGCCACAACAUACACAAUUGCUUGGUCCAUCUUCCUAUCGGUUCUUAAAGAACGGGUUCUUAAAGGAUUAUCUUCAAGAGCCACAGAACGAUCAAGCGUUGGUAAUUGCAGGGGCAGACCAGGGGCACGAGGUGCCCAUUCACGAGGAGAUCAACACGAUCUCAGGAGGAUUUUCAGGAGGAGAGUGCACCGCCUCCCAGCGAAAGAAGUAUGCGUGAGAGGUAAUGGCGGUGGAGUUGCAGUAGGUAGAUCAAACUCCUGACGUCGACCUCGUCUUCACCAAGGCUGACCUCCAGGAUGUUAUACCUCAUGACAAUGGCCCGGUAGUGAUUUCGCUAGUCACAGCAGGAAGGAAGGUGCACCGCGUCCUCGUGGAUCAAGGAAGUUCGGCCGAUGUGAUGUUCUGGUCGACCUUCAACAAGUUACAGCUAUCCCCAGACCAGUUAAGGCCCUAUACCAGAUGUUUGUAUGGUUUCGCUAGAGACCAGGUGGAGGUGCGUGGGCAUAUAGAGCUGAAGAGAAUCUUCACGGAUGGCGCGACUUCACGCACUACCAACAUCAGGUAUCUCGUUGUUAAUUCUCCGUUGGCCUACAAUAUACUGUUAGGUAGACCAGCUUUAAACAGGAUUGGAGCAGUUGCCUCCACGAGGCAUAUGAAGAUGAAGCUUCCUUCCCUUGAGGGUAUGGUGAUAACCAUCAAGUUUGACCAAAAAGAGGCUAAGAGUGCUACGAAAAUAGCCUCAAGACAAAGAGAGGGUUGUUCGCUGUUACAACCCAGCCUCCAAGGGAAGAAGGGAUCACACGUGCAGAGAUCGCCCAGGAGAAACAACCCGAACCCGCCAGAAACGUAGUAGAAAGAAAGAUCGGUGGGAAGAUGUUUAAGCUUGGCCAAUCUUUGAGCCAAGAGUUGCAGGAUCAUGUUGCCGAGGUCAUAGCGUGGCACCUUCACGCCUUCGCGUGGUCUGCCUCUGACAUGCCUGGCAUAGACUCUGACUCCCUUUGUCAUCGCCUCACCAUGGACCCUUCGGUCUGACCUGUUUGCCAGAGAAGACGAAAGUUCAACGAGGAGAGGCGUCAGGUUGUUCGCGAAGAAACAGAGAAAUUGCUAAAGGCUGGCCACAUAAGGGAGAUUCAGUACCCCGAAUGGCUAGCCAAUGUGGUGUUAGUGAAGAAGGCUAGCGAGAAGUGGAGGAUGUGCAUUGACUUCACAGAUCUCAACAAGGUCUGUCCGAAGGACUCGUACCCGCUGCCCAGUAUUGAUGCCUUGGUGGACAACGCGUCUGGGUGCAGAUUACUCAGCUUCCUGGGUGCCUUCUUUGGCUACAACCAGAUCAUGAUGCACCCACGGACAAGUCCAAGACAACAUUUAUGAUAGAGAUGUCUUGUUAUUGCUACAAGGUAAUGCCCUUUGGACUAAAGAACGCAGGUGCCACCUACCAGAGGUUGAUGGACAGAGUGCUAGCGCCCAUGUUAGGGCGAAAUGUCCAAGCAUAUGUGGAUGACAUGGUGGUCACCUCCUGGCAGAAGGAGCAGCACGUAGUAGACCCGGAAGAGCUAUUCACCAUGAUAGCAAAGUACAGGUUGAAGCUGAACCCAGAGAAGUGCGUGUUCGGGGUUGAUACAGGCAAGUUCUUAGGUUUCCUACUCACUGAACGUGGGACAAAGGUGAAUCCUGAUAAAUGUGCUGCGAUAAUAGCCAUGAGGAGCCCGAUCUUGGUGAAAGAGGUGUAGCAGUUGACAGGGCGCAUGGCCGCUCUGUCCAGAUUCGUAUCGGUAGGAGGAGACAAGGGGCACCCUUAUUUCCAGUGCUUGGAGAGAAACAACAGGUUUGUAUGGACCCGGGAGUGCGAAGAGGCGUUUGUGAAUCUAAAGGAGUACCUAGCUAGUCCACCAAUGUUGUGCAAGCCAAAAUUAGGUACCCCACUCCACCUAUACUUCGCAGUUACAGAAAAGGCGAUUAGUACGGUUCUGCUCCAAGAACAAGACCAAGUGCAGAAGGCGACCUACUUCAUCAGCAAAGUACUGCAAGGGCCAGAGGUGAGAUACCAGGCCCUAGAGAAAGCAGCUCUGGCGUUAGUAUUCUCAGCGCGAAGGCUUCGCCACUACUUCCAGAGCUUCACCGUGAUAGUAAUGACCGACUUUCCAAUUUGCAAGGUCUUACAAAAGACAAAUGUGGCAGGGAGAAUGGUAAGGUGGGCAGUAGAGCUGUCCAAGUUUUGCGUACAGUAUGAGCCUAGAGGUCCCAUUAAAGGUUAGGUUUACGCUGACUUCGUAGUAGAGCUCUCUUCGGUAGCCACGCACCAAGAAGGAGCAUGUUUCAGAUGGGUGCUCUCUAUGGAUGGUUCCUCAAACCAACAAGGCAGCGAGGCUGGUGUCAUCUUGGAAGGACCAGAUGGGUUGCUCAUUGAGCAGGUCCUACGGUUCGCUUUCAAGGCCAGUAACAACCAAGCAGAAUAUGAGGUCGUAAUCGCUGGAAUGCUGCUGGCCAAGGAGAUGGGAUCGAAAGGUUUGCUGGCAAAGAGUGAUUCUUUGUUAGUCACAGGUCAGGUCACGGGGGAAUACCAAGUUAAGGAUCCUCAAAUGGCUGCAUAACAAGAGUACGUCCAAGUUCUGAAGGAAACGUUUAAGGUGUUCGAGUUAGUCCACGUACCCAGAAAACAGAAUGCCCGAGCAGACUUGCUAGCAAAGCUCGCCAGUUUGGGCAAGGGGGGGCAAGCAGAUGACAGUGAUUCAGGAGACCCCAAAGACACCUCGAACUACCGCGGAAAACUUGGCAGAAGUCCAACAAAUUAGCACAUUGGAAGGGGUGAGGAAGAGUCAUCAGUCGUUAACAUAGGAGACGGUGAAAACGCACAGAAUAAGCAUGUACCCGGUUGUUGGGGAGAUGUCGUCGCAAGUUUACCAAGUUGAAUCAGGAGAAACUUGGAUGACACCCUACCAACGCUAUUUGGCUGAUGAAGUACUCCCACUAGAACACACAGAAGCCAGAAAAAUCAAGAAAAAAUCAAACAAGUACACCUUGAUCUACGGGAAGUUAUUCAGGCACGGGUUCACCCACCCUAUCCUGGUGUGUGUAAGUGGCGAGCAAUGCACGCGCAUUAUGGCAGAACUACAUGAGGGGAUAUGCGGUAGCCAUGAAGGCCAUUCGUGCAGGGUAUUACUGGCCAAUCAUGAGAGAAGAUUGCACGAGGUACGCCCAGCGGUGUAAACAAUGCCAACAACAUGCUGACUGGCACAAGGCUCCUCCAGAGGAGCUGAGGUCGAUCUACAACCCAUGACCAUUUCAUACUUGGGGGAUCAACAUUUUGGGGCCCUUCCCUUUGGCAGUACGACAGAUGAAGUACCUCGUGGUUGCCAUAGAAUAUUUAACAAAUUGGAUCGAGGUUGAGCCAGUGGCACAGAUCACAGCCCAUAAGGUCUAGUACUUCGUGUGGAAGAACAUAGUGUGCCGCUUUGGAAUUCCGAAGAGGUUGGUAUCUGACAACAGUACCCAGUUUGCAAGCCAGCAAUUGGGUAAGUUAUGUACAGAGCUGGGAGUGAAACAGGUGUUCGCGUCAGUAGAAUACCCCUAGACAAACGGGCAGGUCGAGUCUGCCAACCGAGUUCUGCUCAGAGGUCUGAAGAGAAGGCUAGACAAAGCCAAGGGAACCUAGGCGGAAGAAGUUCCUAGAAUUGUGUGGGCCUACCACACUACUCCCCAGUCCACAACUAGGGAAAUACCCUUCAGCUUGGUGUAUGGUUCGGACACCAUGAUUCCAGUAGAAAUCCAAGAGAACUCGUCGCGUUUCCAGAACUUCGUGGUCGAGGAGUCCAAUGAAGAGAGAAAGGUGAACCUGGACCUACUAGAUGAAGUAAGGGAGGAAGCAAGGAUUAAGGCUGAAGCCUUGAAAAGGAGGGUGAAGUAUAAGUACAGCUCCAAGCUGAGACCUCAGCAGUUCCAGGUCACCGACCUGGUGAUGCGGAAGGCCCACCCGUACCAGUUGGAAAACAAGCUAUCUCCUAAGUGGACCAGCCCUUUCAGAGUAACGGAGGCCCUUGGGAAUGGAGCAUACAGACUCGAAACGUUAGAGGGUGGAGCGAUCCCUCGUACUUGGAACGCGACCAAUCUUAAGUUUUAUUUUAGUUAAAAAUAUUUUUCAUUGUACACGUUUUAAGGGGACACUCUUUUUCCCUCAUAAGGGUUUUUUUAACGAGGUCACCCAAAUAAAAUUUCAGUUAUUCAGUUGAGAAAUAUGUGUGCAUUGUAGUUAAUGAACCUCUCCCUUGAAGUGAUACACUAAGAGCAGAGGUAGUGUGGUUUCCCCAAUAAGCCCAUCUUGUGUAAGUUCACCAAGGUGAAGAAUAGUAUGGUUCUCCAGUUAUUGAACCUCCCCCUUGAAGUAAUGCGCCAAGAUCGGGAAUAGUAUGGUUCGAUGGUGAACCUCCCUCUUGCACAAGUUUACCAAGGCUGAGAACAGUAUUGUUCAAACGUUAAAGGCUUGCCCCUUGACUUUUUAUAGCAAGGUCUUGGUCAGUUAUUCAGACUUGUCCCUUGACUUUGUACAGCAAGGAUGAGGUCGCUAAGAGUCGUUCACUCGAGUUAGAAACACCAAGAUGAGGGAAGUGUGGUUCCUUAGGGGGGCCUCCCUCUUGCGUAGUAACUCCAGGGUCGAAUAGCAUGGCUCACUAGUUAAGGUCACCCCUGCCUUCGCAUUGCAAGACCAAGAUCAAAAGGAAAUGCUUCCCCCUUGUUUACAAGCCAAGGUUUUAGGCGGUAUGGUUCCCCAGUAUUACCAGCAAGACAUUCCCGUCAAUCUAAGGAAGGUAGGGACGGGAUCAACAAAGUCGCCUUACUUCACAAGAAGAAGAUCAAGAACAGCGAGAGGAGUUUACCCUCAGACAAAGAUCGAGUCAGUUAAGGGAUUCGCGCACACAUGAUAAAGCAUACGAAGUUAAAACGUGCUACCAAAAGGGCGAACCUAGGUCGAAAGCGUUGUUAGUAGAAGUCAAGGCAGAAAAACGCAAGCUAAAGCAGCUAAAACAAACAGUUAAACAAAAGAUAAAUAUUCAUAAAGUUAUAUGUACAAGGGGUAAAUUGUCCUUCAAAAAGACAGAGUUACAGAAUGGUCACUCUCGCAACAUGAGUUGCUCAUCAACGACGCACUUAGACUAACUGAAAGGGGAAAGAUCCACCUCAGAAUGCACACAGGCAAACUGAGCGAUGACAUCUUGGAACCCCUCAUCGUAAGUAUCAGCAACAUCUUUGGUGAGCUCCCCCUCCGUCUUCUUGAAGAGCUCAACCCUUUCGUCCAGCUCCCCUUCAACCUUCCUCAGCAGGACCUCGCAUUGGGUGGCCCUCUCUUCCAGCUUGGCCAUCUUCGCUUUCAUCUCCUCGACCUUCUUCUCCAGGUCGACCACGUUGUUGCGAAGAGGCAAGAUCCGCUUCCAGUUGGACGGCCUCGUGGCUCUUGUCAAGACGUGGUUGGCAAAGGCCUUGGUCUUGAGGGAUAGUUCUUCCUCCAGCUCCGCCAUCCUGGCCUUGAGUUCUUCUGCUUCUUGGGCCCUACUUAGCGCAAGGCUGAAUGCGAUUAGGAAGUCCCCGAGGCCGUGGGCCACAUGAUCAUCGAAGAGAUUACCGCUCAAGCUCUCCAAUACUUCCUUGACUUGGAAGCACUUGAGGAUUUGCUGAAGCAGCAUGGGGAGCUCGGGAGUGGAAGGCAUUUGCUGACCUUCAGGGGCGCUCUCCCGCUCACCUUCGUGAAUAAUAAGGUGGUGCGGGGAGGAGGCGCUCAGAGGAUUAUCUCUGAAAGCUGGAGUUAGCCCACUAGAUGCAGAGGGAGAAGGCACCACGACUUCGCCCACCCUCUUCCUUUUGAAGACAAAGCCCGUGCACGUGUCCUUGUCGUCCGAGUCAAUGACCACCACCCCUUUCUACCUAUCGUCGACAGGGGCUGGUACGUUUGUGUUGGGGGCAGAGGUAGCUGAAGUUGGAGGAGUUCUGGGCGUUGAAGUGCCCACACCGAUAGCGGCCGCUUUGCGCUUGGCAAGCAGGUCAGCCAAUUUCUUCUUCUUAUCCUUGUUAAAGCCCAUAUAUGCAUGAAAACAACAAGUCAACAUAGGUAAUAAUGAUAAGGCAAGUCAAGUGCAGGAAAGGGUAAGAAAGGAAUGAGAAGAGUACCAAUGUAUUUCUUAAGGUUCUUGGGGUUGAACUCAUGUUUGAGCAGCUCCUGCGGAAGAAGGUUCUCGAGACUCCGGGGCCUCUGGAGGUUGGGUUUCUCCGCCCAAUAUAGGAGGAACCCAUCAAAAAGGGCGGGAUCCCUCCGGUUGCUUCAUACCUUGAAGAAGUUCUUCUUGAACCCCUUGUAGGAUUGCUGGAAGAGCGUUAGAAGCACCCUCUCAGUGACGUUGUUGAAGCUAACCCACAACUUCUUGUCGGGACUUUUCGCUUCGAAGAAGAAGAGGAAAACAUCCACCGAUGGCAUAUGACCAAGACAGUGGCAUAGGAUGGAAAAGGCACUUACGAACGCCCAACUGUCGGGGUGCAGUUGGGCGGGGGCGACAUUCACCUUUGUUAGGAGCGCUCCCUCGAAGGGGGUGAUGGGUAGUCGAAGCCCAAGCCUUCGAUAAACGGUGGAGUAAAUAAAGCAGAAGGGGCUUUCGGGGUCCGAGGAUUUGUCAGCGCACACCGACUUUCCUUCCCGACAAGUCACUCUCCUCACAAACUUGUCGUGGUCUUUGCCAAAGACGCGCGAUUUAUGAAAGCUUUGUUUUUUUUCCUAUAAGCGGCUAUGCUCUCGAGGGAGGUAAAACUAGAAGUCUCCUCUAGAAGAGCAGUCGACGCCCAGCGGUACAAGGACCUAUAGAAGGAGGCGGAAGGAGGAAGGAUCGGUGACGUAGAUGGAACAGGGGAUGAAGACAAAACAGAGUUAGAAUCUGAAGGAAGAGCUGAAGUGGGUUCUUGUUGGGUCAUCUUAGAUAAAGAAGCUAAAAAAGAGAAACUUUAGAGGAAGAAGAUGGCGCAACUCGACAGAACUAGGAAAAACCAGAAAAUAGAGACUCAAAGCGUAAAACAGAGAAAAUGAAUGCACAGAGAAAUGCAGAAAUCAUAAACAGUCUCAGACAGUUAUAAGCAUGUUACAAGCAGUUGAAUCAUAAAUCGCGAAGCAAUCGGUGAAUAAAAAUCAUACCUUUGAAUAUUGAGGUUCGAAGGUUUGGAGUUUUAGAAGAGAGAAGAGAAAGCGUUUUCGCAUAUAUGCUCAAGAGAAAGUUCGCAUAAGUGAAAGUAAUGAAACAAUGAAGGAGAGCGUAAAGGGUUAAAGGUUUGAACAGUGCACGAAGAAGUUCGAGCGCCAACAAGUCCCCAUCGUUGACCUUGCCACGUGUACACUGAUUUGAAAAAGUUGGUGAGACGUCGCUUUGGCGUACUGUUCACGACCCGCUACCUAGUGCCACGUAGGUCGCCCAACGCAAUCACUUAGUCCUUUCACUGGAACAAGUUACAACUCGAGACUGGGGGGCUUGUGUCCCGACCAAUCCUCGGUCAUCGACCCAGUGACUGACCUCAGACAUCACACACCGGUGCUUGGUAAUGGAAGGGGGGCACGUAAGGUGGGCCCUAGACGCACCUACCAGAGGAUUGGUUAGUCUUCAGACAUUGGUAUCAUAGACCUCGAUGUUGGAGAUGGAUAUCGGACAUCGACGGACUGAACAAUGUAGUAGGCCACGUAAGGUGGGUCCUAGAGUUAUGCUAAGUUAACAGUUAAGACAUGAGAUAUGUGGGAAGCCUAAAUCACGAAGGAUCCAUGCACGUGGUGUGUAUAACGCAUGCAGGCGCGACACGAGAGAAUAAUCCUGGGAGGCGCUAAGGCCCAUUAGGGUUAGGGUUUCCAGAAAAAGCUGCAUGCAUGGCACGUGAAUGCUUAGGGCACCCACAAAGAAGAUGGCGCAAGAGAUUAGGUGCACAAGUUGGUACCCAAGCGACCACUCUGUUAUUCGUUGCACUCCAGUUAAGGGAAGUUCAUAUGCCAGAUACGCUAAGAUUAUGUAAAUAGCGACGCAAGGACGUUCCCCAAGGAACCCUAGAUAAGGGUAACAACAUAAAGGUAAACCCUAGUUUCAACCUAUAUAAAGGGUGCCAAGAACCCUAACAAGGUACACAGUUUCUAAGACUGAAGCUAAUAUACACUCUUGGUGUUUCUUUGCCCAUAUACUGACUUUAGCGUCGGAGUGCAAACGGCCGUCAAGGCGCCCCUUUGUCUUUGCAGGUGAGAGCUUCUUUGAUCAUGGAAGUAGAUUCUCAGGCGGAGAUAGAAGGGCCAAAAGCUGACGUUCGAGUGAACCGACAAGAACAAACAUAUGUAUAGAUAUCACCAUUUCAUCUCUUUUCCUUGAAAUGCUCUUAGAUCCACCUGUGUGAGCAAUGGUUUGCUUUGUCCUAUUCUCUUUAUUUUUUAGGGAAUUUUCCUAAUCAUCAACAUAUAAAAAUUAAUAAGUUUGAAUGUAAAUGUCUAAAAAAUAUUUCAGUUAUACCUUUUUUUUAAUUUAGACGAUAAUCCACAAAAGAAGCCCAAUGAUCUCUAUUUAUUCCUUCUAAAGCCAUUUCAAUCAAUUCAACUCUUGUACAUGUUCCAUCAUUCCUUUGUUCCCACAAUUCUUGUCGGUAGUUUCUCCAUUUUGUGUUAAGUGAUUUAAGGACAUGAUUUAUAUGAACAUCAGAACGAACAUCAAAUUUAGCCUUCAAAAUAGUCAACAAUUAAAAUUAACAAUAAUUAUAAUAUAUUUAAAUUAUAAAUUAAAUUAUAGUAUAGUUUUGGAUAUGAUUACCUGAAUAGUGUGUUUAAGUAUAUCUUCUUUAUAAACUUUAGGAACCUUCCUCUAGCUAGAAUAACUAAUAGGAAAUACAUUAUAGUUUCUUGCCAUACUACCUAAGAACCUAUUCAAUAAUGCUCCACCAUCUACAAUUGGUUGACCCUUAUUAUUCCAUUGCACAACAAUCCUUUCAUUUGGAGGUAGAUGCCAAACAUCAUUGGUUCUUAGCUGUUUUGUGUUUCUCUUUCCUUCCUCAUCUGUGAAAUAAUACAAACAUUUGUCUUAAGGGAUAUAGGACUAAACCAAAAAAUAAUAUUGCUUAUAUAACUAUAUAUAACAUUGUAUGCUUUUAACAAAUUGAUAGUGGAUUUAUACAAAUUUCCAUUUUGAACUUGAUAUAUAGUGGCUUACCAAUGACAUCAACAAGCCAUGCUCUUUUGCAGGCUGUAGGCCUUUGUUGAUGUGUUUUCAACUCAGUUUCCUCAUUUUCUUCCUCUUCAUUUUCCGAAUAUACAUUUGAUGUACCAGGUAUUGUUGGUCCAGGUACAUGUUCAAAUUGAUUUGGUGGCUCAGAAUUACAUUGAGGUGCAAUUGGGGGUUGAACAAUGAAUGUAGGAGCAAAGUUGGUAUGACUAGUUGAACGUAUCCUCACUUUCAAAGUUCCUGAAAAUAAAUCAGCAUAAUAAAAAAAAACAAUUAUGUCUAAUGAUGUGAGGGUUAAUAAAUUUGAAAAAGAAGUGAACACAAAUUACUUGGUUGAGGUGCCGUUGGAGGUGCAGGGAGAGCAUGUUUAGUACCUUCUUGUGGUGCAGAUGGAGGUGGAUGGGGAAAGGUAGAUGAAAUACCUCUAGGAUUACUCGUUUCAGGAUGAAAUUCUCUAUGAACCCUCUUGUCUAUCCAAAGGAUGAUCGUGUCCGACUUCUAAGUUGUCUUCGUAGAGUGUCUCUAAAUUCCCUAUGUGAAACAUAUAAAAUAUAUAAAUUAUAUUAAAGAGAAAACCAAUUAUAAAAAAACUAAGGUUUAUAAAAUUACUGCAUAAAUGGAUCAACUAUGGUGUAGUUAGUUAGUACAUGACGAUGUGCUUGCAACUUUUCCUUUGCAGAUAGAGUGCAAUUAGUAAAACCCCUAACUGGUUUUUCGACUGGCGGGAACAAUGUAUUUUCAUUAGAAGGCACUGUAGCAGGCUCAUCAUUAACAUGUGCAAUCGGUUGAAUACAAUUUCAAUUCCAUCUAAAUAUCUCAAAUAAAAAGUUAAAGCCUCUUCAGCCAAGUAUCCUUCCGUUAUUGACCCUUCUGCUUGUGCCUUAUUACGUACAUAGGACUUUAAUUUCCCUAGAUAUCUCCCAAUGGGAUACAUCCAUCAAUAUUGGACAGGUCCUCCAAGCUUGGCAUCUUCUACUAGAUGCACAAUUAAAUGAACCAUGACAGUAAAAAAAGGAGGAAAUAACAUCUCCAUGUGACACAAUGUGAGGACCACUCUACUUUGUAGCUGAUCAAGUUCAUCCAUUUUAAAACUUUAUUACACAAUUUUUUGAAAAACAAACCUAAAUCAAUCAAAACAAAGUAAACUUCUUUAGGGAGUGUCUUUCUCAUUGUCAAAGGUAGAAGCUGCUCCAUCAAAAUAUGUGAGUCAUGACUUUUCAAUCAUCCAAACUUAUGUUGCUUGACAUCAAUGCAUCUACUAAUGUUACUAGAGUAACCAUCUGGAACAAUUAUGUUUUUCAAAAUUUUGAGAAAGAUAUCUUUAUUUACAUUUGUCAAUGUAUAUAUAGCAUGGAGAUAUCUACCAUUUUCAUCAGGCCAAAGAUCAGGUCUAAUACUCCAAAGUUGUAAAUCCUUUUGUGCCUUUAGAAUGUAUUUGCAUUUAUUUGAACUAUCAUUCAACAAUGUAAACACCACAUUAUCACAUACAUUUUUUUUUCAAUGUGCAUAACAUUCAAAUUGUGGGCGAUAAGUUCUCUACCCAAUAAGGAAGUUCAAAAAAUAUACUAUUUUUUCGCCAUUGUUGAGUGUCUAACUUUGCAUGAUUAACUCUCCGUUGUCUUUUGCCAGUUCUUAAAGUACCGGUUCUUUCCCAAAUUCAACAUUAAAAUUCUGAACUUUUUGUAAGACAUCAUAUCCUGAGAUUGCCAAAGGUGGAUUCCUAUUUUCAAUAGUUCCAUCAAAUCUCAUGCGAGCUAGUCUCAAUUUAUGCCUUCCAUCUAACCAACGUUGAUGACUCAUGAAACAAAAUGUACCACCUUUAAUAAGCUUCAUAGGAGUUGUAUGAAAAUUACAUCUAGGACAUGCCAACCCAAUAUGUGUGUUCCAUCCAGAUAGGGUUCCAAGACCUGGAAAAUCACUAAUAGUCCACAAUAUGGAUGCAUGCAUAUCAAACACUUCAUUUCCAUAUGAAUCAAAAGUUUUGAUGCCAGUGUUCGAUAAAUCUUUCAACUCUUCUAUUAGUGGUUGUAAACAUACAUCAAUAUCGUUUCCUGGAGCUCGCUUUCCAGGAAUGAUCAUGGAGAGAAUGAAUGAACUUUGUUUGAUACACAUCCAAGGAGGAAGGUUGUACGGUAUGAGUACAACUAACCAAAUACUAUGACUAAUGCUUAAAUUGCCAUAUGGAUUAAACUCAUCAGUAACCAAGCCAAUUCGUACAUUUCGAGGGUGUGAGGAAAAUUGAAGAUGUUUAAAGUCAAAUGUCUUCCAUGAUUUAGAAUCUCUUGACAUAAACUCUUGGAGUCUGGAGUCAAAAGUCAAACUUUUAUCCGAACAAGGUUUUUAUUAACAAAUUUUCAAGAAAUAUAAAAAGAAACAUGGAGUAAAAGAAGCAAAGUAAAUAAGAGUUUUUGUCUUCUUCUUGUUUGCUCCCCUUAAUCAACCAUCAUCUUUUAGCUCUAAGGAAUUUUCAACUUAGUUCCCCUUAGGUUAAGUUUCCUUUCUUUCUUUCUUUUUUAUAUUAUCUCAUCCUUUCAUCUUGUUUUCGUCUUCUCUCCCUUAAAAAUCACCAACAAAGGGGUUGCAGGCUCUUAUAUUUCUUCUUCUCUUUAGAAUUUGUCUCGAGGUUCUCUCAUCUUUUCUCCUUUGAAAUUUGUAAACUUUUCUCCUUUCUAGAGUUUACCUCUUCAACAUAUUUCAAACUUUAUAUAUUCCCCUUUAAGGACCAUCAAAAGAUGACCUUUUACCAAGGGAGGGUGCUUUCUCACCUUUAAUUACAAAUAACUUUUUUCUGGGUGUGAUGAUUAUCUUUUCUUCCAUUUGAACAAAACUUGUUUUUUACGAGACUAUCGUCUUAUCAUACACAUGAAUCUUCAUGUUCAUGUUCAGUACUUCAGGUAAAUUUACUUACUAGUUGUGAGCAAGUGCAUGAACUUAAUGGCGACCAAAUCCUGAGCAAUCGGAGGAACACGAUGGUCGGGAUACGUAAAGGCUCUUACGGUUUUGUUAUCUCUCGUCAAUGGCGGACACUUCGUUUUUCUUUACUAACUUCCCCGAACAUUUCAUGGAGAGAGAUCUUUGGAAGGUUUUUCAAAGGUGGGGAAGGGUUAUGGAUGUCUUUGUUUCAUGAAAGCUCAAUGCAAGGAACAGGAAGUUUGGUUUCGUAAGGUUCCAGGGUGUGAAGGAUGUUCUUUCUCUGGAAAGAGAGUUGAGUGCAAUCUGGAUUGGCACUUGGAAGAUGCAGGUGAACCUUCCCAAAUAUCAGAAGAAGGAUGGACCAAGGAAGCAAAGGAAUGAAGGGUCAAGUUUAGGGCGGAACCCAAAGCUGAGCACAACGAGUGGGAAGGGGAAGCAAACAGAGCAGGUUUCGUUCGCUCAAGUUGUCUCAGGGGGGGCAGGCAAGCUCAGAACAAGCGAGAAUGCGGGUAGCUCUUUGGGGGGUGAAGUCGAUUUUCAGGUUACAGUGGAGGUAGAACAUGAUGAUUGGUUAGAAGGAAGCUGCGUUGGUAAUCUGAAAGAGCUUCCAAGCAUGCAAGUGAUUCAGGAGAGCUUUGUGCUGGGAGGUUUCAGCCAAGUCAAAGUAAGAUAUCUUGGUGGUAGGUUCGUUCUGCUUUCAUGCGAUGUUGGAGGGAGUCUGCAGAAGAUCAUAGCAGACAACAGGUCAUGGUUCAACGAAGUGUUCUCGGCGGUUACCCGCUGGGAUGGUUCUUUCGAACUAAAAGAACGUUUUGCAUGGAUACGAUGCAGUGGAAUCCCGUUACAGUUCUGGUGCAAUCACAGCUUUUCCAAAAUAGGGGCCGUGGUGGGAGAGGUGAUGGAGGUUGACGAAGCAACUGAGAGAAGAGAAACAGUGGAGUUUGCUCGGUUUAGAGUUAAAACAACGGUCAGGUCAGCCGUCAAUAUGGAGAAGGAGUUGUGUAUCAAUGGCAGGUCGUGUAAGGUCGCCUUUGUUGAAGAGUUGUGCGUCCCGAAGUGGAGUCUUGGCAAGUGGAAUGGCGGAGCUUCAGAGGUAGACACCGAAGCUAGCUCUGAUGACGAAAGCGUAGAGGCUAGUUUGUGCGAUUCAGUGGGGUCGGAGCUUGGGAUGGCCGGAGAUGGAGGUGUGGACGCCGUCGGGGAAGGAGGAAUGGUGAUGGAAGAGACGGUGCAGGGCAAGGUGGUCCCGGGUUGUCUUGGUAAGGGGCGUGAGGGAAGGGUUCAAGAUCAUUUAAGAGGGCCAUUGAAUGUGCACGAUAAUUCCUUGAGAGAGAGAGUGGCUUUAGUGGGUGGGCACGGUUCUCUUAGCUUUUCAAAGAAAGAGAAAGUGGAUUCCUACGUGGAGGUGGCUAGUUCCAAGGAGUCCAAGUCAGCAGAUGAAAAGGCAAGGAGUAAUGGUGGUGUAGGAGUGAGUAGGUGCACGUUGAGUGGUUCUGUGAGGGUAGGAGCGUCUUUUCAAGCGCCACCUCAAGAGCCUUUUCUAGAAGUAGGAGUGCAGGAAAUUAAUGAUGGUGGGACCGCUUCUUUAAAGGUGUGUUCCCCUAUGAUUAGGUGCGUGGAAAAUGGUGUUUUAAGUGUGAAAGGAGUGGUGGGGGAUUUAAAGUGUCAAAGUGCACUUAUGAAGCCGUGCAACAUUAUUUUGAGCGCUCAGGAUGGUUGUCACGAAGAAGAAGAAGUUGAAGUCGGGACUGUUUCAAGACAGACGAGUUUGGUGAGUAGGGUCGCUGACUUGGUCGCUGACUCGGUAGGGAUAAGACCUUCUUUGCACGAUUUGGAACAGUCUGGGACCAGUGUGAUUAAAGAUGGAGUUGUCGGGAGUUCGUUAGUCGUAAUGGACAUCCCAAAGUCUCCAGUAGUCCAAGGUUUGACUGAUAGUGGCUCGGCUGACCCUGGAAAGCCAGAUGAUGCAGAGGAGGCAAGGAGAUCAGAGACGUCAAAGCCGAGAGACGGUGGGUGCGCCUCCCCUCCAGGAGGACAAUCAGAGGUUUUAGGGGCGGGUUUGGAAGACGAAGUGGAAGGUGGGGGCAACAACGGUGAUAUGGAGGGCAGGGUGCCGGGUUUGGAUGGAGAAGUCGUGGGAAGAUAGUCCUCAGUGGAUCAAGUGUUUUUGGUUCACCAAACAGGCAGCUCGUCGAAUUCACUAUUCACUUCUGAUAGUGCAAUUGAGAAUUGUAACAGGAUUUUUUGGGUGAAGACAGAUAAGAAUUUGGCUGCAAGUGUCUGGGGAGUAGGGAAAGAAGUUGGGUUUUCGCUCGCUGAUCGAGAAGAGGUAGUUUUAGAUGGUAUUUAUUCGUUAUCUAAUCAAGGCGAGGUGACUACGAGGAGAAUGUGGAAAGAGAGGAGCAAGUUUGUUAAUGAAGAUUCUUAGUCUGAAUAUCAGAGGGAUAGGCGGGGCGGUAAAAAAGAAUUAUGUCAGGGAUAUGAUUAGUAGGGAGCUGGUGGACAUGGUAUGUUUACAAGAGACAAAGUGUUCGGAUUUUAGUAGAGAAAAGGUGUAUCUUAUUUGGGGAACCAACGAAGUGGAUUGGGUGGAAAACAAAGCAGUUAAUAGUGCAGGUGGGGUGAUUACGAUGUGGAGCAAUAAGGUUUUUCAGCUGUCCAGUUUCAAGAAUGGUAGGAACUUUUCAGUGUUAGAAGGGGUUUGGAAGAGGGGUUUUGGAAUCCACGUCACCAUUGUGAACAUUUAUUGUUCAGGAUCUUUUCGGGAAAAGAAGGAGAUGUGGAAUGAGAUCAGUGGUAUCAGACAGGGUCAGCUAUUGAAGGCUUGGUGCAUCAUUGGAGACUUUAAUUAUAUAAGAAGGCAGGAGGAAAGGAAGAGUUUGGUGUCGUGCUCUGAUUACUCUAGAGAAAUAAAGGGGUUUAAUGAUUUCAUUGAAAGCUUUGAGUUGGUUGAUAUUCCGCUGGUGGGCAGGAAGUUUACUUGGUUCAAACCCAAUGGUUUGGUGAAAAGCAGGAUUGACAGGGUGCUGGUAUCCAAGGAGUGGUUGGAGUUGUGGCCAAACAGCCAACAAUUUGUCUUCAAUAGAUCAAUCUUGGACCAUUGCGCUGUUAUUCUGAAGGAAGUUUCAGUGGAUUGGGGUCCGAAGCCGUUUAGGUUUUUGAAUGUUUGGCUGAAGGAUAGUAGGUUUAAGGAGUUUGUGAGUUCGAGCUGGUCUGCUUACAAGAUUACAGGAGGGGGAAUUUUUGUGUUUAAAGAGAAGCUGAAAAAGUUAAAAGCAGACCUCAAGGUGUGGGAUAGGGAAGUAUUCGGAGAUGUGAAUCAGGCUAGUAAGGAAAUCCAAAAAAAGGUUAGACGAGUUAGAUUCUCGUGACGACGAAGACGGGUUGAUGGAGUCCGAAAGGGAAGAAAGAAAGUCUCUCUUUGCUCAACUAUCUGAGUCCAAAUCCAAACAGGAGGCGAUCUUAUUCUAGAAAGCAAGGCAGAAUUGGAUAAAGCAGGGGGAUCACAAUACAAAGUUCUUUCAUUCCGCGGUUAAGUGGAGGAGGGCAAGGAACCAGUUACAUGGUUUUUUUGACAAUAAUAAAUGGUGUGAUGAUAAGGAGGAGGUAAAGGAUAAGGUUAGUAAGUACUUCGAAGAAAGGUUUGCCCGGAACGAUGUUUGUCAGGUCACUUUGGAUAAUGUCAGGUUCAAUACCAUAUCGGAAGCUGAUAACGCUAUGUUAGUCAGCGUCUUCUCAGAAGAAGAGGUAAGAGAUGCGAUUUGGGGGUGCGAUAGUUCAAAAAGUCCUGGUCCCGACGGGUUUAACUUUGGUUUUAUAAAAUCUUGUUGGGACAUCUUGAAGAAGGAUGUGAUGAACGCAGUAAAGGAUUUUGCUGAGUUUGGAUGUUGGCCAAGAGGAUCAAACGCAUAGUUUCUUUUUUUGAUUCCAAAAGUUGAAAAUUCUCAACAGCUGGGGGAGUUCAGACCUAUCUCAUUAGUAGGUUGCCUGUAUAAGAUCAUCUCAAAGGCGCUCUCCUUGCGCCUGAAAAAGGUGAUUGGAAAAAUCAUUGACAUUAGACAGACGGCUUUUAUAGAAGGAAGAGGUUUGUUGGAUAGUGUGCUUAUUGCAAAUGAGGUUCUUGAGGAUUACAAGAGAAAGAGAAAACAAUGUAUCUUCUUUAAAGUCGACUACGAGAAGGCAUACGAUUCGGUGAAAUGGGAAUUUUUAUAUUAUAUGCUAAGGAGGUUGGGUUUCUGUGCUCGGUGGAUUCGUUGGAUCAAGGGAUGCUUGGAGUCAGCUUCGGUGUCGGUCCUUGUAAACGGAAGCCCAACUAGGGAGUUCUUUCCUAGAAAGGGUCUUCGUCAAGGUGAUCCGCUUGCCCCUUUUCUCUUCCUUAUUGUGGCGGAGGGGUUAGCUGGGGUGACAAGGGUAGCAGAGGAAAAGAAGUUGAUUGACAGUUUGGAGGUUGGGAAGAAUAAAGUAAAGGUAAAUAUGUUACAGUAUGCGGAUGACACUCUGUUCUUUUGUGAAGAANNNNNNNNNNNNNNNNNNNNNNNNNNNNNNNNNNNNNNNNNNNNNNNNNNNNNNNNNNNNNNNNNNNNNNNNNNNNNNNNNNNNNNNNNNNNNNNNNNNNNNNNNNNNNNNNNNNNNNNNNNNNNNNNNNCAGCGAUUCUUAAUUGCGAUACGAUGGUUCCUCCGUUCAUUUACUUGGGUCUGCCAGUCGGAGGGAGUCACAAGCGCGAUGCGUUUUGGAACGGGGUGAUUGAGAAAGUGCAGGCUAGAUUAAGCAGGUGAAAGGGAAGAAGUUUGUCGAUGGCUGGGAGGAUUUGUCUGAUUAGGUUUGUGCUUUCUUCUAUUCCGUUAUUUUUUAUGUCUUUGUUCAGAUUGCCUGCUGGGGUGGCAAAGAAGUUGAUCAAGUUGCAAAGGGAUUUUCUUUGGGGCUGGGGUGCAGAAGGGAGGAAGAUCGCUUGGGCUUCCUGGAACCUGGUUUGUAAACCUCGUGAGUUUGGGGGGCUUGGAAUAAUAGAUCUGAGAUUGUUUAAUUUGGCUCUGUUGGGAAAGUGGAUAUGGAGGUUGGGCUCGGUUGAGGUAGGUCUUUGGAAGGACAUCAUUUUUUCUAAGUACGGUGGGUGGAGAGAUCUGGGAGAGGCAAGUAAUGGUAAGAGUUGUUCUCUUUGGUGGAAGGAUUUGAAGGAAGUUUGGUAUUCGAAGGGGUGGGGGAGAUGUUUCGAAGAUAGUUUUGAGUGGAAGGUUGGGAAUGGGACGGACAUUUGUUUCUGGAAGGAUAGUUGGUUGAUGGGUGAGGCGUUGAAGAAUGUUUUUCCACGACUUUUCUCAGUUAGCUCUAACAAAAAUGCAAAACUGCCGGAACUUGGGACUUGGUCUAAUGGGAGAUGGGUUUGGGGUCUUGUUUGGAGAAGGCCUUUUUUCGAAUGGGAGAAGCCGGCGACGGAUCGAUUGAGUCAGCUCCUGCUUGGGGUUGAGGUUGUUCUUGAAGAGACUGAUAGUUGGGUUUGGAAGGGUGGGGGUUCUCAGUCAUAUACGGUUAGCUCAGCUUACAACCUUUUCAGGAAGGAUAAUGAGGCGAUUUCCUCGCAGGAGCUUAGAAAGUUGUGGAGGAGUAAGGCAAUUCCUUCUGCAAUGGUUUUGGCUUGGAGGGUGUUGGAAAACAAGCUUGCUACCAGGGUCAAUCUUAGUAGAAGAGGGGUUCUUUUAAAAAGCUUGAGGUGUGUGUUAUGCGGGAAGGAGGAGGAGUCGAGUAGCCAUUUGUUCUUUGGUUGUUCGUUUGCUUGGCGAGUUUGGUGUUUAUGUUUUAAGUGGCUAGGAAUCCUGUUUGUGACUCAUAUUGAUCCAAGGAGCAAUUUCGAUCAAUUUAGAUUGAGCUUUCCUUAGGAGACGGGCCUGGUUGUUUGGAACACGAUCUGGGUAGGGGUGAUUAGUGAGAUUUGGAGUCACAGGAAUCGUAUAAUUUUUAAUAGUGGAGUGGCAGACGAGAAAGAGGUCUUUGCUUUGGCACAGGUAAAGACUUGGUCUUGGCUCUCAACAAAUUCCCGGUUAGUUUCGUUCUCUUAUUCUGAUUGGUGUUUGGCUCCUUUGGAGUGUACGAGGUUAGUUUCUUGAGGUUUUUGCUUGGUUUAGUAAGGGGUAGAAGUGUUGGGUUGGUUUUUAGAAGGAGAUAGCUGGAAUUGGUUUAGUGUUUUAUGUAUAAGGGUUGAACCACCUCUGAAGUAGUUCUAUUUUAUUUUAUUUAUUUUUUAUUGCCGAUAAAAAAAAACGACUAUCGUCUUAUGAAUAUAUCUUAUAGUUUUUAAUUGUACAAACCCAACAUAUACAAUGGUAUUACGUAGACAAUCACAUCGUCUAGUCAUGUUGCAUAGUAAAAUCAAUCAUAAAAUCAAUAACAUUUAAUGUUUAAAUAAAUAAAAAAAUAGUAUGUGAUGUUUCCUUUGUAUCUAAUCCUUUGACAUGAUAACUUUGUUUGUGUUGACUUUGACAUGUAGAUAUGCACAAAAGAAACUCUUGUAGAUAUGCACAAAAGAUACAAGCAUCCAUUGUCUAAGAUCAAUCUUCAUUUAUUUCCUCUUCCUAUACAACAUAUCUACAACAUAAAUUAUGAUCUAUUUUGGUAGUGCACUUUCUUGGGUCUUUUCUUCUUAGUUCUAGAUGAUUGCCUUUUGAGUUUGCAUCUAACACUAGGGUAUACAAACUUACCACAAUGAUUACAGAUAGCCUUAACAUGAAUUUUAACGUUGUUUUUUUUUCUUUUUAGGUUAAGACCAAAUCCGUCUUAUGCAUGUUUGGCGUUAGAAAAUAUGAGUUUUAGAGAUUUUAAGCUCUCAACAGAAUUUUCAAAAUCACGCCUACAUUGUGUUAUUUUUUCCUCCAUAUGUUUUAUUUUAAAGCAUUAUGUGCAAGGAUUUGUUCAAGGCAUGAUGUCUUUUCUUUAUAUGUAAUUAGGUCUUGUUUGAGUAUUUCAUUUUCUAUAAACAAAACUUGAAUUUUAAUUUUAAAUACUGCUCGAAGAUCUUAUUGCAUAUAGUAAGAAGCUCUUCAUAAGAUAGAUCAUCUUUAUUAGACAAUGAAUAUGACAAGUCUAAUGAGGUUUUGUAAAAUACGGGUUAAGGUUAGAAGUUACCUCAUUAUCUAAGUAUGGCAUGAAAUAUAGAUUUGAAGUCUCUGCGUCUAACCUAGAGCUUAAGUUUGAGUCUUUCCACGAAGACAUCAAAUUUCUCCUUUUGAAUCUUUCCUUUCUUUUAAGCUUUAGGCACUUCGUCUUCUAGUGUCCUGAUUGUCUACAUUCAUAACAAUAUGACCUCUUGAUUAUUUCAAUUCCUUUUGUAGGCAAAUCAUCUACUACCUUGAUCUUUUUUUAAGAAGUAUGCUUAAACUUUCUUGACAUUGCAGAAAACUCCUCUCUUAUAAAUUUGAGUGAUAUAUGAAAUUGUGUUUUUGAAAUUCUCAACACACUUCUCCAAGUCUCUCUUUUAUAGUACUCAUUUGCAUUUAGAAACUCAAGAAAUAUGGUAUAACCUACUCCUUGACCAUUGUACCUUGUAAACUCACGUCCAAAUCCCAUAAACCUUCAUAGUCACAAACCUUGAUAAAUUCUUUAAAAUAUUUGAUUUUUUUUAAGAACAUAUUAAUUAAUUAUUACUUAACAUAAUUAAUUAUCAUUAGUUAAUUAAUCCAUAAUGUUUAGUAUCGAUCAAUUGUCUUGUAUAUGUUUCGAAACCUCUUUCUGCAUUUAAUCGAUUAUAUUUAAUAUAAUCGAUGGUCACAUGUUAUUCUUGCUCAUUUAAUUGAUUAAGGUUAAUUAAUUAUAUGGUUCCAAUUGUGUUUUUAUUUAGCUCAAUAAUUUGAUGGAUUGCGAAUUUCCACGGACCAUUUAACCAUAACACUUAACAAUAAGAAAGGAAGAUUAUCAUAUAUCCCAAUAUUAGGUUAUUAUAAGAACAUCUUAUUAAUUUCACAGUUCAAAAUAAUAAGAACAAUAAUUUUGGUUUCACCUUGUGAAUGAAUCACAUUACAAAGUACCAUGCCUCUAUUUUACAUCCCUUCCCUUUCUUUCUUUCACCUUCGUUUUUAUUUUUCUAACAUUCCUCAAGUGUAUUCCAUAUCUUCUCCAAUAUUUUAAAAAUGGUUAACAUAACAUGUACCUAAAUAUUUAAGUACACCCUCAAUAAAAUUCAAUCAAAACAUAACAGACAUAUAUUUAUUACAUGAAGACCAGUCAUUUUUAUUUAUUUAUUGUAAUUGCUGUACUAAAAGUACAUUUUAUCCAUCAAUAAUUUAGUGUUUUAUUUUACUGAUUUCCUAUUAUUUGAACUGAUGUUUUUAAUAGUAGUGUUACAAUUAGAAAUAAAAUAUUAAUUAGUUUUGAGAAGGUAUAUGAGACUCAAACACUUCUCUUUAAAUGACGUAUCCGUGUCGGACACAUGUAUCGGUGUCGACACUCAUAGGAUACUUAUCAAUAAAGUGUUCAAUUCAAAAAAAUAUUUGUUGGAUUUUUUAAAAUUCUAACACGGUUCUAAAACAAAUUUAAAAGGUAUAAAUACAAUAAUUUUUUAAAAACUCAAAUUUAUUGUAUAAAUUUUUAUCAUGAUUAUAAAAAUAAGGAACAAAUUCUUUUGAACUCGUUAUGAAAAAUAUCUUCAUGCUCCGAAAAGAAUCUCAAACAUACUUUUGCACAUAAAUAUUUAUUUUCAAUUUAUAUAAUUCAAAAUUAUAUAAUAUAUAAAUUCGUGUCCCCGUGUCCUACAUUUUAGAGAUUAUACGUAUCUCUGUGUCCGUAUCUGUGUCGUGUCAGUGUCCGUAUCCGUAUAUGUGGCAACGUGGUGAUUUGAUUUAGUAGGAUCUAAUUUAUAGUUUCAUAAAGAAGGAUUUUCUUUUGUGACUAUGUUGUCCCAUAUUUUAGAUUGCUUUAUUUGUUCAUGGGUUUGAUUCCUUUUCCUCCCACUUUUUUUUUUUUGGGUAUUAUUUCAUUUAAUCAUGUUGCAUAUGAAUGAUAAUGGUUGAAGUAUCACCUAGUUGAACUUGUAGUCAUUAUGGUGAGAUAUCUUUGCAUGUUUUCUGAAGAACAAAAAGUUUUGGAAGAAAUGGUACGGAUCUAGAGAACUACAGAUAUAUGAAGAAAUUAAAAUGAAAUCAGUAUUAAAUUUUAAUGUAUAGUAGUUCUGCAUAAAAAAAGCAAUAUAUGCAGUUUUUGUUUUUUCUGUUUUUUCUCAAUCAUAUAUGUAAAGCACCUAGUGCAUAAUAAUAAGUAUUAUGUUUUUUGCUUUUACUUUUUCUUUGUUUUCUCUUUCUCAUCCCUUUCUCACGAAAGUGUCUAUCACUGGCACCACUUAAGCUUGUGAUGAUCUAAGCCUUUGUCAAUGUCUAGUGUCAGCAUGUAUACAAUAUAGUAUCAUAGUGGGUUAAUCCUGUUCUGCUUCCGUUGUUCCUUUCUUCUUUUCAUUUUGCAUUCUUGAUUGUUCUUGUUUCUGUUUUUUUUUUUUUCUUUCUUUUGCUGGUCUAUUAUGGCUACAGAAAACUAUACCAAAUCAGAAAAUAGAACCAGUUCAAAUGAUUCCUAGAACCCAUCAAGUCCUUACUAUUUGCAUCUUGGAGAAAACCCAGGAAUGAUGCUAAUCAAUAUACAACUUGAUGGUGGAAAUUACCACGCUUGGAGGCGGGGAAUGAAAAGAGUGCUUCUUUCGAAGAAUAAACACAAGUUUGUUGACAGAAGCAUUCUCGUACCUCAAUUUGGUUCAUCUUUACAUAAAUUUUGGGAAAGAUGCAACUUGAUGGUGAUAUCUUGGAUAAUGAAGACGGUGAAUACUCAAAUAGCUCAAAGUAUUGUCUACAUUGAAAACGCAAGAGAAUUGUGGAAAGAUUUACGGGAAAGGUUCUCAAAAGGUUAUCAUUUUAGGAUUUCAUAUCUUUUGCAGGAGUUACAUUCUAUAAGGCAAGGGGAACGCGACGUUACUAAGUUCUUUACAAAAUUAAAAACCUUAUGGGAGGAGCUAAAAUCCCUAAGACCAAUCCGGAUUGCGUUUGCAAGAUUAAAUGUAGUUGUGCUUUGAUAAAAAAUGUUGUGAAGCAUAGAGAAUCAAAAAUACGUGUUAUGUUUUUUGAAGGGUUUGAAUGAAAGAUAUGCUACUGUUGAGACACAGAUCUUACUCAUGGAGCCACUUCUAAGUGUCAACACGUUUUCUCUCUCGUUAUUCAACAGGAAAAUCAAUUGACUGGGAAUGCAAUGGUAAAUAGAAAAAUAUUAUUAAAUACUUUAGGUAGUCAAGGGAGCUGGAAAACGCAUCAUAAUGGAGGAUGGAAAUCACAAGGUAGAGGAAGAAACUAAUACCAAAAUAAUGGUAAGCAGUGUACUUUCUGUCAUAAAUUGUAUCAUACAGUUGAUGAGUUACUCCAAACAUGGAUUCCCUCCAAUUGGGCCUUCUUGGACCCAAUGCAACUCUAGACCAUCUAGGGUGCACAAACAAAUUAUUGGAGUGCAAAUAGAAAACAAGGAGUGGCAAGGAAGGCAUGAAGGUCCACAUGUCAUCUCUUUAAUGGAGAGGAUUCUCCCCAAUUAGGGGAGGACACUUGUCAACCUCUAAUUUGAGAGGAUUUGCCGAUUAGAGAGAGUCUCUUGUCCUUCUAUGAAUGGAGAGUUUUUAGGGUUAAAGGUUGCACCUUUGCUAGCCUUAUUUCUAAGUGUUUUAGCAAGGAACCUCUUAGGAGUUGGCCUAACCUCUCUUAAAAUAUUAUUUUUAGGAAUGAGACUAGGUUUGGCUACAUUACGAAAAGAAAGAUUUCCAAACCAAAGAAAGUCAAAACUCAAUCUCAGAGGAGAUGGUCCAUUCCAGGUCCUUCAACGCAUAAAUGACAAUGCAUAUAAAUUAGACCUCCAAACUGAUUAUGGAGUUAGCACUACUUUUAAUGUUUGUGAUUUGAUUCCUUUUGUAGGUGGUGCUGACAAUGUUGAAGAAUUGAAUCUGAUGACAAAUCAUUUUCAAGAGGGAGGGUCUGAUGGACGACUAUUCGGAAGAACACAUAUUGGGCCUUUAACUAGGGCCAUGGCUCGAAGAAUGAAGAAGAAUAAAAAGGAGUUCAAAAAACUCUAUUUUUGUGGAGAAUUAAUUUUUAACUUUUCAUCCAAAUUUCCUAUUCUUAUAAAAUUGUACAAAGUAGUAUAGGCUUUUAUUUUGGGUUUGUAUUUCGGUCAUUGUUUGGCCCAUGUAUUGGGCCAAUUUUCAUGGACCAUGUAUUGGGCCAAUUAGAGUAGUGUGUAUAUAGAAAAAAAGAAAGAGUCUAGCUAGAGUUACAAUUGAGCCUCCUUGGACCCAAUACAAAUCUAGACCAUCUAGGGAGCACAAAUAAAUUAUUAGAGUGCAAAUAGAAAGCAUGGAGUGGCAAAGAAGACAUGAAGGUCCACAUGUCAUCUCCUUAAUGGAAAGGAUUCUCUCCAGGUAGAGGAGGACACUUGUCAACCUCUAAUUUGAAAGGAUUUGCUCCAAUUAGAGAAAGUCACUAGUCCUUCUAUGACUGAACUUUUUAGGAUUAAAGUUUGCACCUUGGCUACCCAUAGCACUAUAAAUACAGGUGAUAGCCCCCUUGUAAAGGAGCUUUGAAUAUACUAUUGAAUUGUUGUCAACAAUUUCAUACUCUACUAGUCUUUUAACUCACUCUUUGCUAGCCUUAUUUCUAAGUGUUUUACCAAGGAAUCUCUUAGGAGUUGUCCUAACCUCUCUUAAGCUUCAUUUUCAUUCUCCAUACACCAAUACUUCACAAUUUAUUUCACUCAUUUUAGUCAUCCAAUCCCACCAAAUUCCGCAUCCCAAAAUACAAAACAAAAUACUCAUAACAAUGCAGGCUAGGAUUGCAUUAGGUUUGUUCUUUCCCAGCCACUCCAACUUACAACUGAAGGGCUUUUGUGAUUCGGACUGGGCAACCUGCCCUCAAACUAGAAGACCUACAACUGGAUUUUGUGUGUUUCUUGGUUCAUCUUUAAUUAGUUGGAAAUCCAAGAAACAAUCCACUGUUUCACGGUCGUCUUAUGAGGUUGAAUAUCGUGCUCUUGCAACUCUUACUUGCGAGAUUCAGUGACUAACUUACUUGAUCAAUGAGUUCAGAAUACAAACUGAGACACUUGCAGUUGUUUAUUGUGACAACCAGUCUGCAAGGUGUAUUGCCUACAACCCAAACUUUCAUGAGGGAACUAAACACAUAAAAAUAAAUUGUCAUGUUAUUCAGGAAAAAUUUCAAUCCAAAAUCCAAACUUUUGCAGUUGCUUCCCAUUUCUAGCAAUUAACAAGUGACAGAUUUUUUACUAAACCUCUUAAACAAGGGAUGUUUGCAGCAACAGUUACUUUACUUUUGCAGUUCUUUUACUUUUUUUUCUCUGUUUUCUCUUUUUCAUUUCUUUCUCACAAAAGUAUCUAGCAUCGGCAACGCUUAAGUUUGUGAUGAUCUAACCCUUUGUCAAUGUUUAGGGUCAUUAUGGAUACCAUAUUUCAAUAAUUAGCAACUCAAAUAUUCUAAAUGCUGGUUUAUAAAAAAUCAAGAACUUGAGGAACUCAUGUUAUUGGAAACCUAUAGCCAUACUCUAUUACAAUACAACCACAAUUUUCCAAGCAUAUGAGUUCCACGUUUUGCUGCCAUAUACCUUUCUUUUUCAAAAAUGGCAAGUGCUCCUUUAGUCAUUUACCUGCUUUACCAAUCUUAGUUGGUUUUCUCCACUUUAGCUAAACUUUUGUUAUUCAUUCGUUCUCAUAAUUCCAAGCUGGGCAUAGCAAAUUAGAGCAUCAUUUUCUUCAGUUUCUUCUAUUUUUGUGUGAGUUUUUAUGCUUGGACUUGCUUUGAUGUGACUGAGCAUCCUUAGGGUUAAUCCAAUAGUUUGAAAUUAAUGACAUACUACUCAACCUUUGGAUGAGAAUUUGAGUUGUUGGGAUGGAACUAUAAUGAUGAUAACCCUUUCCCUUUUUUUUACUUUGACAUGUUUGUCUUUUUUAAUUCCAACUUUGGCUUUAUCCUGAACUUUUUCUUUUGUGAAUUCAUAGUAACAAAGGCACGCAAUACAGUUUGAAAAGAAAAAAAAUCUCAGAAAAGAAAAUAAAAUAGCAAACGUGUGUUGACAGAUAUAUAUUCAACGCGUUAGCUCGUGAAUAUAUUACUUUUUUUAUUUUAAGUAUCAAUAAUCAAUAUUUAUUAAAUUAGUCUAUAAAAGACUAAGGUUGUGUUUGGAUUUAGGAGUGGAAGUUUGAGGAUUUGAGAUAGUGAAUGUGUGAGGAUUUUAGAAGAAAGUGUAAAGAAAAUAGUGUUUUGGGUUGGGCUAUGUUAGGGAGGAUUUGUGAGCAAAGUUAAUUAAAGAUGUGAUUGUUGAGAGAAUAUUUUUCUUUUUUUAAAGUGUAAAAUGUAAGAUUACAAAUUUAUCCCUAUCUUUAAAAAAUAGAAUAAUUAGAUAUUUGGUAUUUUUGUCUAAAUUUGGGUGAAUUAAAAUUACUACUAAUAUAAUCCGAUAUAGUUGAAUAAUUAAUUUUAAAAAAAAUACAAGUUAAUUACCUGCCAAAAAAUAAUUUACAUGUAAAAUUUUGAAUAUAUGUAAAAAUUGUACAUUGUUAUAUAAAAAUAAAUAAUUUAAAUAUUCAUAAAUUUAAAAAUUCUAAUUAGAAAACUUUUUUAUUAAAUAUAAAUAGUAUUAUUAUAUUUAUAAUCAGUAUUAUUAUUAUAUAAUUUAUUUAUUAUAAAUAACUACAUAUUUUUUAUUAAAAUUUUAUUUUAUUAUUAAUUAUUAUUAUUUAUUUUAUUAAAAUAUUUGUGUUAGUUAAAUUUAUUUAAUAACUAAUAUUUGUAAUCAAGUCUACUUUUUAUUAAUGAAAAAUGUAAAGAAAUGUGAAAUUCUAAAAUAAAAAAUGGCAAAUUUAAAAAAAACUUAAUGUUGAGCUGAUUUUUCCUUUGAUUCUCUUCAUUUUAAGGGAAGAAGAGAUUGACUAUUCACACUUAUAUUUUCUCCUUCUCUUUUCCACAAAAUCAUAGAUCCAAAUAAAAGAUAUAGUCUCACAUCUUUGUUUGUAAAAAAUACAUAUAAAUAAAUAGAUUCUAAUAUAAACUAAUUUGAAAUAUAAAAUAGUUAUUAAUUAAAAUCUUGAUAGUUAAUGAUUAAAUAUCAAUUUAAAAUUACUUUAUAAAUUUUUAUUAAUAAUAGAAAUUACUUUUAAUAUCAAUAAUUUUUUAAUUUAUAAAAUAAUUAUUAAUUUAGUGUAAUGAAUUAUUUUAAUACUAAAGUUCUUUUUUAUUUAAUAAUAUUUUUUCAUAGUUUUUCUUUCUAUAACGUCAACUUAUAUUUUUUUUAUCAUAUAAUGACAUAUACCAUUAAUAGCAAGGGUGUUCGCCUGCAAUUUAACUCAAUUUUAUUUAAAUCAAACAUAAAAAAAAAUGUGAUUUAGUUUGAAAAGAAAAAAUCUAAGACAAACUACACCAAUUUAUGUGAUUUGGUUUAAAUAGGUUUUUAAAUUUUAAUUUUUAAUUUUUUAUUAAAAAGUUAAUAUUCUUUUCAUCUUUUAAAUUAAAAUAUAAUAAUAAAAAUUUUCAUAUUUAAAAUAUGAUAAAUAUAUAUUAAAAUAAUAAUAAGAUUAAAUAUUUAAUAUUAUUAAAAUUUAAAAUCAAAUAGUUUUGUAGUGUAAUAAUAUCAACAAAUGAGAAAAAAUUAAAGAUAAAUUAAAAAAUAUAAAAAUAGAAUGAGAGGUCAAGCGAGAAAGUGGAGUUGAAGACGUCAUCUUUGAGGACAACUGAAGACAUCGACAGUGAAUACGAACCAAAAAAAUUGCACUCUACAAGUAGAUUUAGGUUGAAGUAUAUAAUUAACUAUUAUUAUUGUUUUCAUAAUAAAAAAUAUAUUAAAUUUAUAUUGUUACUCGCUUUGAUUUAGACUAGUUUUUUACAAACUGUACCGAAUAGCUCAGUUCUAAGAAAACAAAAAUCCAAAACAAUAAAAAUGUGUAUAGUAUUAUAUGUUAUCAAUUAUUUAGAUCGAUUUUUUUUUUUUUUUUUCAUUGGUUCGGUUCUAAACACCUUAUGAUUGAAUAUUAUUCCAUCUAAAUAAACCAAUUAAUGAUUACAAUUUUUAUAUUAUUGUAUGAUAUUUGUAUUGAGCAUAUAAUACAAUAUUAUAUAUAUAUAUAUCACCUAGUAAAUUAUUUGUUUAAAGUAUAUUUUAUAAUAAAUCUUCAACAAAUUAUAAAUUUGUAUUUCAAUAAUAUAAGCUCGAAUUUUUUUAUUUGAAAUAUUUUUUUCGUAAUAUAAAAGACAAUUACUCAUAAAUUAAACAGGCCACCCUCAUAGACAUAAAAUAAAUUUUAAAUAACAAGUGAAAUUAUUUUUUAAAUUAAAUAAAUUGUUACAAAAUCUGAACCUUAACUUAUUUUUUAAAAAUGUCUAGCUUGGUACGAGAAUAUUAAGUCAAGUUAUAAAUUUUCCAUACUUAAAAGGGUUGUCGAACUUUGAUGACGAAGACUGAAUGGUAAUCUACCUACAAAAUAUUCUUCGACACUCAAUUCAGUAACAGCUUAAAGAGCUUAAAGAAAUACGAUAGUAUAAAACUUAGAUUUUAUGGGCCUCUAGAUGAAUCUCAUCAAAUUCUUGUAGUUGUAGUUUCCUCUACUCAUCUGCUUGAUCAUUAUUAUUAUUACAAUCCUUGCCCGAUGUGUUUUAUAAUAUGAAUUUAUCUAAAGCAAAGACAAUGCUAAUUGUUCUAUCUCAGUGGUAGUAUAAUUAACCUAAGUUGCAUCUAAAGUUCUAGACGCAUAACAAAUCACAUGAGAUAUUCCAUUAACCUUUUGAUAUAACACAACUCCCAAAGCGUAAUUUGAUGCAUCACACAUGAGCUCAAAUGAAAUCUUCGAAUUAGGUGGUUGAAUGAUAGGAGGAGUGAUAAGAGUGUUGAAGAUGGAUGAAGCCUCUUCUCUACCUAGUGUUGUGUGUAUUUGAUGUAGAAAAUAGCUAGUUUGCUUUGAAGUUUGUAAUAGGUUUAGAUGAUCUUGUAUGUAGGCUUGUAAUUGUGUAAGAUUGCCUUUUGCUACAUGAUCUAUCCUAGAUGCCUAACCAAGCCUAGAUCAAGCACAUGAUGUGGUUAAAUGGUUUUUGAAAAGCUUUUAAAAGUGCUCUUAAAAGAUUUAAAUCAGUACAAAAAUAAAUCUGUUUUAUGGAGAAAGAAUCGAUUUAUUUCUUCUCUGUUAAAAGGCUUUUCUAACAUUCUGAUUAGGGCAUCACAGGUAAAGCUUAGUUCGUUAUUUCAGUUAAGCUGAGCUGGCCUAUUUGUUAUCUUUUAAUCUGUUUCUCUGUGAAAGAACAGGUUUAUUCUUUGGUCAGUUGAAAGGAUUUUCGAAAGUUAGUUAGGGCACCAAAGGUACAACUCAGACAGUUAUUUCAGUUAGCUGAGUUGGCAGUUUUCACAAAAUAAAUCUGUUAAGUUUAAAACUGAGUCUGUUGUUUUCAUAACAGCUUUUCAACUGUUUUUUGAAAAGAAGUUUGAAACUGUUUUCUAUAUAAAGAAAAGCCUCUCUCACAUGAAAGCAUGCUGAGCAAUUGCGUUUUUGACAGAGAUCAAACACUUUCAAUGUGAGAAGAAGGAUUGAAAAGAUUUUUGAAAGGUUUUCCAAAGGGAUUUUCAAGUGUGCUUGUUCUAAGAAACCUUUGAUCUUGGUGAAGGUGCUUGUUCUAGCAAAUUGAACUACUGGUUUUGAGUUCUUGCAUCUUCUUUUCAGGUGUAAUCUUUCCUUUAUUCUGGUUUGUAAAGGUGUAAGUGUUAGUCACUCCUUGAUAGGGUUUCUUGGAGUGCAAGGUGUGCUGAAAUAGGGUUUUUCAGCAUUGGUUGUAUUGUUCUUGUAGUGUUCAAGAACUGCUGUGUUUGUAAGUGAUUGGUACUGUUUUUAGUGGAUUCCACCUUGGGGUAAGGUGAGACUGGACGUAGCUCUGUAUGAGUGAACCGGUAUAAAAACUUGCGUGCCUUUUCUUCUCAUCCUUGCACUCAUUUCUGGUUUUGCUUAAUUCUGUCAAGAACUAAAUCUAUUCUUUUGAAAUUGAAUCUGUUAAUUCUGGGUUUAAGUAAAAACUGUUCUUCCUGAUUUGUUAAAGCUCUCCGAUCAUAAACAAGGCAGUUGUAUAUGUUGUUUUAAUUGAUCUGUGAACAAAUAGUCUAGUCAUUAAAACCUUGGAAAGAUUCAUUCUCUUUAAAACCUUGUGUUGAAUGAAUUUGAUUGUUUUCUUAGCAUAGCUGUAUUCUUCAUAUUCAUAAAAUCCAACUAAUCUGAUUCUGUUAUAACCCUCUGUUGAUUACAAUUUUAAUUUGAACAAAUUCAAAUUGUGCUAGACUGCUCUGAAGAAUCAAUCUGUUUCAUGUAAAAACAAUCUGUUCUUUUUGCCUCUGAGAUACUGUUAAGUGUGUGUUUUUGCGAAAAUUUUAUAAGAUCAAUUCACCCCUCCCCUCUUGAACUUAGACACUAAUAGACCCAACAAAGAGUUGUCUUAAGGUAGUCAAAUGCCUUUCUGCAAUUCUCUUCAAAUUCAAAUGGAACAUCCUUUUGCAGUAAGUUGGAAAGGGGAAGAGCAAUCUUGCUAAAACUUUUGGAUGAAUCAUCUAUAAACCCUGCAUGUCCAAGAAAAGAUGACUUCUCAUAUAGAAAAGGGGAACAACAAUUGUGAUAUAACAUUCAAUUUAGUAGGGUUUAUUUGGAUUCAUUUUCAGAGAUUAUGUGCCCUUAGGGGUGACAAUGCGAGGCGGGCCAGCCCGCGGCUCGCUACCAAAAAGUGCGGGGUGAGCUCACUAUUUUAGCCUGCUGACCCGCUUUGCCCCACCCUACAUAACCCAAAGCACGCGUGGGCCAACAGGUGGCGGGACGGGUUGGCCCGCUGACCCACGUAAAUAAAAAAUAAUUAUUUAAUUUUUUAUUGUAAAAAAAAUCAUACCCCAAGUAUUAAGAGUGACAAUGAUUUUAGUUUUAAGUAAAGUUUUAUAUUUAAAAUUUAUUAAUAAAAAAAUAAUAUAAAGAAGAUAUUUCAAUAGGAUAAUUAAAAAAUUAGUCAUCUUCAUUAAAAUGUUUUGUAACCAAACUUUGAUAAGAUACUCGUAUACAUUUACAUACCUAUAUAGGAAAAAAUAGAUGCAAAGCAAAACUUUAAUUUUUUUAAUCAAACCUUCUAACAACCCUCAUACUUGAAUUUAUAUUUUUUUAUCUUAAUUAAAUGAAUUGAAGCACGAAUAAAAUUUUAAUUUUUCAGUAGUAGGAAUAUUUUUUUUUAUAAUGAAUGAAAUUUUAAUUUUUGAAAAAAAAAAUCUUAUGCGGGCUGGCCUGCAAGCCCACGGGUUACUUCUUAUGCGGGGCAGGCUAGUGAAAUGAGUCUGCACUCCUACCGUGAGACGGGCCAACCUAGCCAGCAUUUUACGGGCCAAACGUGGGCGGGCCUAUGCGGGACUCCUACCGUAUGUGGCCUAAGAUGGUGCCUUAUGCAACCAUAAAAAGGACAUUUCUCAUUAUUUAAAACUAGGUUAUUUUCAAUGCACCUUAGUAAGAUUUACCAGACAUUGAUCAAAGGAAGAGCCAUAAAUAUUGAAACAUCCAUGAAAAGUUCUAUGCAAUGUUCAACAAGUCAAAAAAAAUACUCAUCAUGCACCAUUGGAUGGUUCUUGGGGCAUUUCAUAGACCCAAAGGCAUCCUCCUAUAUGCAAAAGUACCCAAGGACAUGUAAAGGUGGUCUUGUGAUGGCCUUCUAGUGCAAUAUAAAUUUGAAAAUAACCAAAAAAACUACUCAAGAAACAGUAGUGGGUCUUACCUGCUAGACACUCAAGCAUUUGAAUAAGAAAAAGAAAGGGUAAGUGAUCAUUCCUAGUGUCUUGAUUCAAGUUUGUAAUCAAUAUAGGCUCUCUAGUGGGAAUGAUUUUAUCAUGCUCGUUCUUCACCAAUGUUAUCCCAGAUUUCUUAGGUACAAUUUGAAUUGGGCUCACCCAAGUGCUAUCAAGUAUGGGAUAAACGAUACUACCUUGUAGCAACUUAGUGACCUUUUUUUCACCACAUCAAGAAUAUGGGGAUUAAGUCUACACUGGGUUAUCUCAUAGUUUCAUCGCUUUUUCUAACAAAAUUCUAUGCAUGCAUAUGGAAGGGAUGAUACCUAGAAUAUCUACAAGCAUCCAACCAAUAGCCUUCUUUUAUUGUCCAAUCAUUUGCAACAACUUUUACUAUUGAUCAACAUAAAGAGUAGUGGAAAUAAUCAUUGGAAGUUAUUAUCCUUGUUCUAGAUAAGCGUAUUUGAGGUGGGUAGGAAGUGGUUUCAGUUUAAGUGGUGAUGAUUGAACGAUAGAUGGUAAAAUAGUCUAAUGUUGAGAGUGACUUCAACAACCUACGAAGUUGCAAGAUUAGACUCAUUUAAUGUUAUUGCAUAUGUGCAUUCAACAACAUUAGCUUCAAUAUUAGAACCCACAUCACAAUGAUUAUUAUCGUUUAUACCAUCAAAAGAUAUAAACUUGUUUGUCUUAGUGUCUGUCUCUUCAGUUAGAUAAAAAAAAAUUACAUUUCCUUAUAACGUUUAACACGCUAUCAUCUACAAUAUCAUAUAAAAUGUUGAUGAAACCAAAAUAAUUCUCAAAAUCAUGUUUCGUAGCGUUUUGGAUGUUGAACUAUACUAAACUGUCUCCAAACUCCAUAGUAAGUAUGUUUGCAUGUACAUCAAUCUUGAUACGCGUUAUCUUCAUGAAGGGUCUGCCCAAGAUUAUGAUAGCUGCAACAAUGUAUGAAUCUCUUCCACCCAUGUCCAAAAUGUUAAAAUGCAGGAAAAACAAGGUCAUUUACUUGGAUUAAUGAUGACUUUCUAUGACAAGUGCACCGCAUUGUCAUAAAUAAUAAUUUGUCCCUAAGGACGAAUAUCGAUCCCACAAGGUACAGUUGAAUUAUCAAGUAUAAUACUCACUAAAUAUAAAAUAGAACAAUUAAAAGUGUGUUGAAAGUGUUUGUCUUGGCGAUGAUCAAUAACAAAACAGAUAAAGAAUUGGUUGCUUCAAGUUGGAAAAAUAGGGAUUUUGUUUCAUCUGUCUCACUCUUACGUAUUUUGAUUAGCAUGUUAACAUUAUGCUCUUUGAUUGAAAUUGAUGCCCGUAUAAAAGUAAUUUAUAUUGAUUCCUCGCAUAUAAAAUUCUUACGAAUGUUCCCUAAAUAUCGAUCCUUCGCAUAAUUAUAAGAACAACUUAGAAUUAAACUCAUAAGUUAAUAGUAAUUAACAUUUCAAGUCUAUUCCUAGCACUCAAAUAUGUUUAGUAUUGUUGUUUAGGUCAGAACCCUAAAAAUACUUCUAAGACAGAUUUAUGAUCCUCAAACAUGUCUCAAAUAUUUAAAAGCAAAACAACAAUACCAAUAAUCAAUCAUGAACAUAAUAUUAUAUCAUAAUUAAAUAUCACCUCAAUACAUAAGGAAUUGAACAUAUUACUUCCAAUCCCAAAGGGUAGAAUUAGCCAUGCAUACUUAUAGCACCUUUCAUUCUCCCAAUUGGUUACAAUUCACUCAAUGGUGUUUUCCUCUCAAUCUGGCACACUAGGGUUGUGCCUAUAGCCCCUUAUUUAAACUAAUUAAUUUGCUAGGGUUAGGUGACUUCCUGCGUUGCUCUUUGGACUCGUUCAUAAAAACAUAAAAUUAGCCCAAUUAAUCUAUUGCAUUUUUGCUGCUGAGUUGGACUUUUUCUCUCUUUUGUGCGUUUUGAGCCUUCCAGCUUUCUCCUUUUAGCAUAUAUCAUUCUUCAUUAGUUCAAAUCUCCAUUAUUCCCUAAAAACCUACAAUUAACAUCAAAUUUGGGGAUAAAAUGCUCUUAUUCAAUUAAAGAUCAUAAAAAAUGUUAAAAGGUAUAAAUUCAUAAAUUAGGAAUUAUUUUAUAUGUAAAUUAGUAAUUAAUACUCAUAAGUGCCUAUAUUUUAAUAUGAAAUAUUACGGAAAUUAGGCAUUUAUCAAUUAACACAUUGAUGAUCAUAAUUUUAUUCACACUUAAUAGCUUUAAUUAUAGAUUUUUGGACGGUAAUCAUCAAUAAAUCCAUUGUUUAAAUUAUGCUUCUUCUAAUUCGUUUUAUUUUGGCCUUAACUAUUAUUUAUGUUAAUUAUGUGUUUUUAUCCCAAGUUUCUUCUUUGAAUUAAAACAGAAAACGAAAUUUGUGGAGAGGAAUAAGAGAAUGAAAUUUACAAUAUCCCAAAAAUAGAAUUGGAAGCAAAUCUUCUACAAAAUACAAGGAAACAUAAUCAAAUAAUUUUGUUAAAUUGGGAACUGAGAAACUGUUAACAAAAUCUAAACCAAAAUAUUUUCCCGAGAUCCUUAGAGCAAAAAAACCUAAAAAAAUAUACAAGCUUCAAGAAGAAAAAAUGAAGCUUCACAGGGUUUUCUUAGUUUCUUUUCUUCUUUGUAAUUCUUUCGUUUUGCCUCCGCAUGGAAGGCUAAAACCAUUUUUAGAUUCAUUCUCUUAUAAUUUCCCAUUGAGUUCUCAGGUUUUGAACAAUACAAAAUUCAUUUCCAAUUCUUUAGUAGUUAUUUUAAUCUUGUGAUCUCUUGGAAAACUAGUUUUUGUGAGAGGUUGUACUUGAACGUAUGAUUGAGAGUCUUUCGUGUUUUAAACUUUUAGAUAGGCUUUCCCUAAGAGAGCGUAUGUCAGAGAUAUUUACCUCAUUAUCAGGCUUCGAUGUUUCGAAAGCAUCCUCAUGUGUGUUCAUUUCAUCUUAUGAGUAGCAUGUAUGGUCGCUCUUUGAUUUUGAGGAUAUAUGGUCCUUUUUUAAAUCAUCAACAGGUUUUGCAAGGAUUCCCAUAUGUCCUUGGCACUUAUCAUAGUGGUCACUCUGGAUGUUUCCUCUUCAAAUAAUGCACAUAAGAGAAUGCUCUUGGCAUUGGCAUUCAGCUUAUAUAACAUCUUUUGCUAAUCAUUUCAGGCUUCUUCUGGAAGUAGCUUUCUAACAAUGUCAAGCAGAGGAGAUAUACCUUUCUCAAUAGUCUCCAUUAGAUCUAAGUCAAUGUACUCCAAGAAUGCGUCCAUCCUGAUUUUCUAUACAGAUAUUUCUCUUCAUUGAAUUGUGGUGUUGUCAAUCAGUUGACCUAGAGAUUCCAUUGAGUUCCCCUUUUGAUCGUUGCCUCAAGUUCUGUAGAGAACUAACCCCUAAGAUUAGCUCACCAAUUGUAGGUACAAUUUGGUUCUUCUAGAAGAGAGGUUGAAUGUAGCCUGAAUUAAUUCGCUUAUUUCAAACACAAAUUAUAAUAACCAAGGAAUAGAAAAAAAAAUAUGUAUCGAUUUACUAACAAAUAUUCUACACUUCUCCAAAUAAGAAAUAUUUUACACUUCUCCCCGAUAACAAUUAUUCUAGAACUCUCCUCCGGUUAACAAGUUUUAACCUCCCCGUGAAACUAAAAGCUCUCGACAAAUGAAAAACUCUAAGGCAACAAUAUAAUCAACAAUGAAAGUGGAGAGGGUUAUCUUCACACACUAAAGAGUUUUACAAUGUAUGGCUCAUUCCCAAAAUAUGAAUCCUCAAAUAUGAAAUAUAAACUCUGAGUGUAAGACUAUUGCACAGUGAAGAAUUUCGAUUACGUUGUAUACUCGUGUUCCAUCCGUCUGUCUUAUAAGUGGGUUUGACUCAUCAACAACAACAACCUAGCCACAGACUGGCCAAACACUCAUGGAGCCCUGCUUCUUCAUCAUACUCUCUCUCUCCGUUUGCGUCCUAAUAAGACGCUUCUUCUCCCUUCACAACAAACCCACCACUCCUCUUGGCCCUUCACACAUCCCAAUCAUCUCAAACAUCCUUUGGCUAACAAAGUCCUUUCAAAUCGAACCAAUUCUCCCAACCCUCCACACCAAAUACGGUCCCAUUCUCACUCUCUACAUUGCUACUACUCCCGUCGUCUUCAUACGCGACCGCUUUCUCGCCCACCAAGCCCUCGUCCAAAAUGCUUCUCUUUUCUCCGAUCGCCCCAAAGCUCUCGCCGCCGCCAAAAUCAUAACCACCCACCAACACAACAUUAGCUCCGCCUCCUAUGGCGCCACCUGGCGCAUUCUCCGCCGCAACCUAACCUCUCAUAUGCUCCACCACUCCCGCGUCAAGUCCUUCUCUGGGAUCCGCAACUGGGUCCUCCACACCCUCCUCAAGCACCUCAAAUCCCAUUCCGAAACCAACAAUUCUGUCAGAAUCAUCGACCAUUUCCGAUACUCCAUGUUCUGCUUGCUCGUCUUCAUGUGUUUCGGGGAACAACUCGAUGAUGGCAAAGUCCGAGACAUCGAGCGCGUGCAGCGCCAGAUGCUUCUGCGCGUUAAAUCCUUCAACAUCCUCAAUUUCUGGCCCAGAGUCACGCGCGUUUUGUUCCGCAAACUCUGGGAGGAGUUGCUGAGGCUUCGGACGGAGCAAGAGGAUGUUUUGGUUCCGCUUAUAAGAGCCAGGAAGCAAAAGCAAAAGCAAGGCAAGGAGGAAGGUGUUGCUUCUUAUAUUGAUACUUUGUUGGAUUUGCAGUUGCCUGAGGAGAAACGCAAGCUCAACGAAGAGGAACUUGUGACGCUGUGUAAUGAAUUUUUAAACGCGGGCACGGACACGACUUCCACGGCGUUGCAGUGGAUCAUGGCGAAUUUGGUGAAGUACCCGCAUGUGCAAGAGAGGUUGGUGGAUGAGAUAAGGGAGGUAUUGGGUGAGAGAGAAGAGAGAGAAGUGAAAGAAGAAGACUUGCAGAAACUUGGUUAUCUGAAGUGUGUGAUUUUGGAGGGUUUGAGGCGUCACCCACCUGGUCACUUUGUGUUGCCUCAUGCAGUAACUGAGGAUGUGGUUUUUAAUGAUUACUUGGUCCCUAAGAAUGGGACAGUGAAUUUCAUGGUGGCAGAGAUGG
This 69181-nucleotide long non-coding RNA is filed under the name Phaseolus vulgaris (common bean). RNAcentral describes it as "long non-coding RNA (PVUL_LNC004443)". Lineage: Eukaryota; Viridiplantae; Streptophyta; Magnoliopsida; Fabales; Fabaceae. The record is from RNAcentral.